CCCCAAGCUUAACCUUUGCUCGUCCCUGAGCAAAGAUGAACUCAAGAGUUUCUGCAGUGGUUUCAUAACUUAAAGAUACACAUGCGUUUAAACAAGAUUUCAUCUCUGGUUAGAGUAAACUGUUAAGACUUAAAACUUACUCAUUUACCUUUCACCAUGGGACUUGUAACCAUCACUUUUGUCUUGAGUAGUUAAAAGAUAGAACAGUCUACUCAAGCACUAUGUCUCUUGUUCUUCGAUUAACUAUAGCUCUGGAGUUUUUUGCAGAUUUUCAAAUAAAACUCAGAGAUUCCUUGUAUGACUCUCUCUAGUCUCUCUUUUGUGGUAUUUCUAGAUCCUUACCAAGGCAGUAAUGGUGUAUGCGUUCUCUCAAAGUAUGUGGUAUUUGUAGUAUAAGGCAUAGUGACAUUGCCUUCUCUCUCACCCUACUCUAAUAAGGCUUUGAUAUCUGGAGCUCAUAGGUGGGAGACAGCUAAUACAUACUUACAAGACAUUUAUUGCAUAGUCAAACCAUGGAUCCAGAAGAACAAGUCAAUAAGUCAAAUCAAGAUGUGCAUGUGUGGCGAAUGAAUAGUAUAUGGUGAUGAUGGUGAUAACAAUGGUGAAAGUCUAAUUCUACUUGUGCUCUUUUGAGGGGAUACAUACCUUUCUUGCUCUUUUGAAACUUUCAGGGAGAAUGAGAUGCUCUGUAUUUUCUUUUUCUUUUUUUUUCUUUUCUCUCAGGUGGGUAUCUUGUACCCCUAAUUCUACUGUCGGACACUUGUCCAUUUUUACCUCUCGUCUCACUUUUUCUUCUUUUUUUUCUUUCGAGGUUCCGGGCACUUGCCCCUUUUUAUUUCCUCGUAUUCUUCUUCUUUUUUUUUCUCUUUUUUUCUUUAGAGCACUCAUCUCAUGAGAUAAUAUAGCAAGUGGUAGUAACAAGAUAACUUGAGCAGUUAUUUCACAGGGAAAAAAUAGAAAUAUUUUUGGCUAUUCUCUCCCGGAUUAGGAGUAGAAUAUUUUUGGGUGGUUCUGGAGAUGGAAAUGGGUAUAUGUGGAUGGUACUUCCAGAGUAGAAGUAGCAUGUAUGAGUGAACGUGCAAGUGAAUCUUGACUUAACCACAUGACAAGCUCCUAAGGGUCUACACAGCUUGACCACACUCAAUGCUCAUAAGCAGUAAAAAGUAAAUGUGUGGCUCAAAGUCUAGCAAGCAUGUAUAUAUGGCUGUGGUAGGAAUUUAAACUCUCAUCAUACAGGAACUCAUCAUGUGAUAUUUUAAAGAUUUUCAAAGAUAAAAUUCUCCAGAAUUCUAGCAUCUCUAGGAACAGAUAAACAGCAGCUCAACCUUCCCAUAUCAUAUCCGUUAACGACUUAGACUUCAGAUCAAGUACUCUUCCCACAAGUUCAGGUUUAGAGCAAAUCUUAAUUAAUAACAGUGAUACCUAAACUUGAGAGAGAUUUCAAUUUUGAGAACUAGUCAUGGCAGAGCAACUAUUCAUCUUUCCAUGUGAAAGCUUAUCAUGAGCGUUCAUAGCAAAUUUUUAUUUAUUUAUUUAUUUAGCAAACUAAGCAAAGAUAUAUAUAUAAGCACAAAAUCUUUAUUUGGGUUUUUAUGAUUAUGCAUCUUUUUAUUAUUUGAGUAAAAUAUAAACGUGAGUAGAAUACUUAGCUGGAUAAAUGGAGGUGCUCUCCCCCAAGCUGGAUUUUGACGUAAUUCCUUUUGAUGUAGCAGGUGGCGGAGGUGUAUUUGAAUGUCGGCAGCACCCUGACAUUGAUUAGGAUGUCCUCCGUCUACUAGUCUUCUUUGAUCCUUUAAUUCUGUGGAGCUCAAAUAGACAACAAAGCUUUGUGGAACUAGUUAAGUGUUAGCAUAAAUAUCUAGCCUUUAUCAUGUUGAGCCUCCUCAAUAAAUGUUACUCUCUUUAGUAGGAUCAUAAAUUUAUUUUUAUAUUUUCAUUUUUAUAGGACAGGAAUAUAUUUAUUUAUUUUUACGCCACCACAAUGAAUGUACUUAUGGGUUUUAUGCCAUGAGCAUACUCACAUGGGGCUUACUAUUUUUAACAUUUUUAUUUUCUUUUCAAGAUAAUAUGAACCUGAUUAACUAAGCAAACUAUUUUAAAAUAAUUGAAAGGAAAAAGAUAAUUACCAAAUUUACCUCUUGGCAAAGCGUUCGGUGUUUUUAAGUCCUCCGAACGGGACUCUCCGUUUUCUCAGUCGUCCUGGGAUUCGCUGGAUGGCGUAGUCGGUGGUUCCGGCGGCGCCUUCUCUUCAUGUAUAACUAUCUUCUCUCUCCACACUUGACUCGGUGCUACGGUCUCCUCAGGACAGUUCUGUUCAAGCUGUAUGUCGUCAGACAUUACAACUUCUCCUUCAUAGUCUACCCAUCCGUCCUUGAUGAUUUGUUUCCUCUGGUUGCGGUCGCAUCCUCGUCUUCUUGUCCUGACCUGCUUAGAGUCUUUAACUAUAUAGUUAAGGUCAGUAAAAUAGCAGCGUACCUACUCAGAGGGGAAGUGCAUGUGGACUUCUCCGGUUCCAAUGUAGAUGAUUGCUUUAACAGUGCUAAGGAACGGUCUUCCAAGGAUGAUGGGUGGAUCGUACUUGUCUUCUCCCAUGUCAAUAACCUAAAAAUCAUCUGGAGCUGAAUGUAUGACGGUUUUAGGGGCAUGGUUCCGAAUAGGAGCUGAUAGGUGACUGGCAGCCAUUAUGUUGACACCUGACCCGGUGUCGCAAAGCAUCUUCUGGAAGUUGUAUCCAUCAAUGGAGCACUGGAUGCUUGGCAUACUUGGGUCAUCCUUUUUGGUUAGGAACGGUGACUUAAGUCGACGAUCUUGACCUCCUUGAACUGCAGUGACCAUCUUUGCUGACUUGGUCCACAUUUGCUUGUUCCUGUUCCUCCUGUUGGUCCUCUUCCUUGUUUCAUGUCAGGAUUGCUCUGAGAUUUGUGUAGUCUUGUUCUUGAAGGAAAACGUCUCCGUCCUUCCCUUGAUGUAGAAACUGAUCUUGACAGCACUAGCGUAGAUGACAGCUCUCGAGGUGUUCAGGAAUGGCCUCCCUAGGAUGAUGGGUGCCCUCUCAUCAGUAUCAGUCUCUAUCACCACGAAGUCUGCUGGAGCGUAUAAGGUACCAACUCGGACAUAGAGGUUCUUCAAUAUUCCCUUUGGGAAACUUAGUGUCUGAUCUGCAAGCUGCAAACACAUGGUUGUUUCUAGGAAAGGAUAUGUAAAGAAUUUGUCAUAGAGUAUUCUGAGCAUAAUGUUGACGCUGGAGCCAAAGUUGCAGAGUGCUUCUAGGAAGUCCACCAUGCUGAUGGAGAUCGGGAUGACGGGACGUCCUGGAUUGUAUCUCUUGACCGGCAGAAGGUCAGUAAUUACUUCCACAACAGGGUUACUCUAGUAGUUACGUCCUCAAGCAUCUCAGUGCAGUGAUUGCCUGAGUGUCCAGUAUCUCCAGUGUGUUUGUGCUCAUAGAUCUAGGUUCUUCACUUGGUGGAGUCUUGUGAAAGCUUUCCUUUCUUAUCGGUUGUGCAUCGUGUUUGUGGCACACUCCAGGGAUCAUCUCUUGUGAGCUAUGUCUUCCUUGUGUAAAUUGUUAAACUUCAUGUGUGUCUCUCUUUGUCUCCAAUGUGAGUUUAUCUCAGGACUUUCCAGGUCGAUAGUGAAAGUUUUCCUGCAGGGGUUAGUCCAACAAAAUAUCCAAUAUCUACUAUAGCAUACUAUCGGCUCAAAGAUCAACCUAGACACCAUGUAUAAUUUGAUUUAGGAGGGCAUUUUAACUUAAGCAUCAUGCUUAAUUUAAACUCCCUUGGAUGUAAGAUCAUCAGCCCUAAACUAAGCACCAUGCUUAAUUAAGAGAUAAAUGAAACUACUCCAAGCCUAGACAUAUACUAAAACAAAUAAAGGUAGCAUGAGAGCAUUUAUAGAGAUCUACUCAAGUGGAGAUGAAGUAGUGUGAUUAGUAUUUAACUAAUUGAGCAUGUCUCAAAGGUUGGGACAACCAACAUAGCAACAUGGCAAAGGAUGUUUUUAUGUAAAGUACUCCCCCAAGCUUGAAUUUUGCAAAAUUCAAGUUUGGAUGAAUUUAAUUCAAUGUUGUAUGAUGGUUGGUUGGACAUACCUUGUGCUUGUCAUUCAUCCGAUCUUCUUGCUCCAAUCCUGAAAAGGUUAGUGACAAGAAUACCCGAAGGAAUUUUUUUACAAUUGUCCUUAUAUGCUAAACACACAAGGUAAUGUUACAAAUAAUUAAAAGCUCAUGUUACGAUCUUAUCAGUGCUUGUUUUAGGACACUAAGCUUGUCCUUUGGGAAACCAUCAAUUUAUGUCGGCGAAGUGGUUUCCCCUCCAACGCUGACCUAUAUCAAGAUCAAUUCAACGAGAUCUACAAUAUUUAAUAUAGACAUAUGCAUCGACAACCGCCCUUUUAAAGUUUUUAUAAAUAGAAAGGAAGAGGGGGUUGGAGAUCUCGAAUGUGGUGAUGUUGGAGAGACCAAUGGAUUGUGAAGAUGUUGCAUAUGAGCAUGGAGUAAAUGAAGUGGCUAUGAAAUAAAUUCCAUGCUCAUUAAUGCUUAGAGUGAAAUCCAUGUGGUGUGGUGAAAAUGAUAAGGUGAGUGUGGUAAAAAGGAAAAAGGAUACACGGACGACUUGGUUCGAAACUAGCACAGCUACCGUUCCCCGGCAACGGCGCCAGAAAGCUUGUUGGGUAUUUUAAACGCAAACAGAAAAAUCCGCAAGCGCACGGAUACCGAUGUAGCUUUCACCCGGGAGUAUUCCAGAGUAUCGAUUUUCCACAGAGAACGUGAGUGUACUAAUUAAGAUCCAAGAUCGCCCAAGGAUAAAUAUAUGAAUAUUUUUGGUGGGAAGAGAGGAAGUUUCCUGAGAGUUCUCUAGUUGAUCUAAGAAUCAAGAAUUACUUCAAGAUUAUCUAUUUCGGGACAUCAGAACACUAACCACAGAAAGAGAUGAGAAGGGGGCUAGGAAGCUCCGACUACGGUCCUACAAACACCGAUCCGAACGAGGUGGAAUACGUCGACCGUUAGGGCUGUCACUAUCCUAAGGCUACCACAACAAUCCGCAGGAUUGGGUGCAAUUCCAGGUAAUUGCAAGACUAAACACCACGUCUAAUCUAUUAAUUACUACUCUAAUGUUUCAAAGACUAGAGCACUUGAUGCAAGCGGGAAUCCAAUAAAUAACUUGAAUGUAAAUAAAAGUAAUUAUAGAACUCAGGAGUUAUGAAUUGAAGAACCUGGAGAACUAUGAAGAACGAACCAGAUGCUGCAAAAGUAUAAUGUUGAGGAAGAUCCGACAGAUCCGGCUCCUCCUCCGCUCUCCUCUUCUCUCUCCCUAUUUUCUAGAUUACAACUAGAACUAACUAGAACUAGAACUAGAGGAACUAGAACUAGAACUAGAUGAACUAGAACUAGAUCUAGAUGAACUAGAGGUAGAACUAGAAGAACUAGAGGGAUCCUCUAUACUUGGAUGAAGAAUUGAAACCCUAACUUUGAUUCUAUAGAAGAGGUAUGAUCUCCAGGGGCCAGGGGGUCUGGUUUUAUAGUCCCUUCAAGUGAAUCUGGGCCGUCGGAUCAAACAGACAUUGAUCGCACGGUUUUCCUUGAUCCUUUAGGUCGGUGGAGCAUAAUCCGCGAAACGUGUCCUGAUUGGACACUGUAGCUGGGCGGGCGCCCUGCCUCCGAGCCCGAUUUCCUUCCCGUUCGUUCCCGUGGCUUCUGGAGUCUUCUAGAUGAUAGAAAAUUGCGCGUCACGUUAAUAUCUCUAUGUAAACCCGACGUGUGGGCCUUUCUUCCAUAUUUCCUGAUAACCCCCUGCAGAAAUAGACAAACACCAAAACUCGUGGAAUUCUGUCAGAUAAAACCCUAAGUCUAGGUGUUGGUUGCAUUUGGAUCCUUUUUUAUGAUUAGUUGAUGGUUAAAUAUGAGCAUUAAGGACCGUCAACACCAAUCAUGUUAGUUUGCUUUAGUUAGGUUGAUUGUUUUAUCAUGAUGAUUUGGCUCUUUGUAAUAGGUGUAGCUUCAGUGAAUAUCAGGGAAGAUCCCUAUUAAGUGGGUAGAGUUGUCUCACCCCAAAAUUUCUAUUUUGGGAUGUGACAUAGAAAAUAUUAAAUGACAUCAAUUGAUUUUAUCAUUUUUCUAAAAUUUCCCAACUUUAGUUAUUCUGUUGACAUUCUAGAUAGUGGAUGUCACACCCAUAUUUUAAGAACAAAAUAGGAUGCAUAAAAGACUCAUAUGUGCCCCAGAAACAGUCACACAAAUAAGUAGACAAAUCUCAAAUGUACCAUUGCAGUGUUUAUUACAUAACAGGACGAUAAUAAAUCACAUAGUCUUAUACAAUAAUAAUAAUAAUAAUAAUAAUAAUAAUAAUAAUAAUAAUAAUAAUAAUAAUAAUAAUAAUAAUAAUAAUAAUAAUAAUAAUAAUAAUAAUAUAAUAAUAAUAACAAUAAAUAACGCUCUCAACGGAAGCUUCACACAGGUAUAGACAUUGACUGGUUGACUUCAAACCUAAUACUCAUAUCGAUAGUCCUUAUUCCAAUCAUCUUCAUUUGCAUAACCUGGGGUGUUGGGAAAUUGCAAGAGUGAGCACAUAUCGUACUCAACAAGUAUAACCAGGGGUUCAUGAGGCUCAAAUAGCUGACACUGGUUUAACUGCAUUUAGCUUUUAAUUAGGGAUAGCAUGUUCAUAAUUAAAUAGCAAGAGUCAAGGUAGCACAAGUAAUCCAAUAAUCACAUGAUCAAAUGUAAGCAUAAUUAACUCAUAGCAUAAAGAUAACCAAAUGAACAUAAUAACUUAACAAGCUCAUCAUCUUUAGUAUAAGAACCCCAAGGCCGCUCAUAACCGUGAGCACGGCUAGUAUACUAGUUUUAACACUCUGCAGAAGUUUUACAUCUUUACCCAUGAGUCAUGAUUUGCCCUUUCGCCCAAGGUAGCUAAUCUCUUAACCCCCUUCCUAGGGAGAUUGGCAGGGAUCACUAUGAAGCCUUUCAAAAGUUCGUCUAACAUGUUAGGGCCGCAAGAUUUCCCGGGCGCGUAGAUAUAGAGCUCCCCUUCCAAUGGCACAAUGACUCGCAGCCUAUACACAUAAAGACAGAGGCCACACUAUACCCAAAACGACAAGCCCCUCUAGCGCCCUUUUGGGUAACCGCUAACAAGCUAGAAAAUGUCUUCAUACUGAGCUAAAGCCAGAGCAAUUAUAGCCCUCUUGGUUGCACUGUUAUCCCGAUGAUCACUUAUAGACAAGAUCUCAUAUGGUUAUCAGUCAUCUUUCAACGUUCAUUGCAUAGCUAUUAAUCAUCUUACAAGAUCAUGGAUUACAUCAAGCACUAGCAUAACUACACCAAAAUGCAUAUCAAAUAGGUAACAAGGAAUACAGGUAACAAUCAUCUAUGAUUUUGCUAAGGUCGACAAGGUAGACACAUGCAUAUGAUAUAUAUAUAUAUAUGUAUUUAUAAGUGUGUAGGUAACAAGAAUGAUUCCAAGUUAUACUUGCCUUGAUCAAAGCUCUCCUGAGCCUGCUGCUGGUCGUCAAAAGCUUGGUCUUGCUCACCAACGUACGACUCACCGUCUAUCCCUAAACAUCAAUCAACAACACACAAUCCAAUAUAGACAAUCAUACACAAAGCAAACAAGCUGUAGUUAAAACAUUACACCAACAGUGAUAAAUCAAAGAUAAAAGUUUAUGAAAAUAUUCUAAACAGCGCUACGAUCACACAAACGUAAAGUUCACGAAAAUCGGAAUUAAAACGUAGAAGUUAUGAAUUUUCUAAGAUUUCCUAUAAAUAAAUAAAUAAUUAAAUGCUACUACGAAAUUAAAAAGUUUCAAAACAGAGAAAUAAUACAUCUAACAUGUAGAGCUCGUAAAUACAAAUCUAACAAAAUUUUAAUGGACAAAAACGGAGUUAAAACGAAUAUUUUAUAAGCAAAACAAAUCCAGUGGUAAUUCUGUAAAUAUAUGAAAGCAUAUUUUGAACUUAGCCGACAAGAAUACGCCUUCCAAACUGAAAAGCGUAAAACCGCCAAUGCGCCAUGGACCGCGGGUUUGAAUCUCAAGAAUCCCAGGGACUCUUUAGAAAAAGAGGCAGCGAAGGGGUAUGUUUCUUUCUGGGGCGUUGAACUUCGAUCGGACGGCUCGGACGCAUCAGGGGGGAUGACAGGCGGCGGCCGGCCGACUCCCUGUACUCCGGCGCGGUGGUGCGCCAUGGGCGCCACUCGGAGCUCACCGGCGUUCUUCAAUCUCAUGAAUUUGUGCGCCAAAAACCGAACUAAGGACAUGGGGACAUGGAGAAGCUCACCGCGGACCCGCUGGAGUGCUUCGCUGGCGCCGAAGUGCAAGGGAAAGAGCUCGCGACGCACGGCGGCUGGCUCCCUCUCGGCGAGUUUCAAUCAUGCGCGGCUAGGGCUUGGUUUUCUAGGUUUUUGCGGCACGGGUGGAAAAACGAGAUGCGGGGUGAAGCUAAAGGCCUUUAUAGGGCUCGGGGAAGUCAAAUCCCGCAUAAAUCGGGAUAGGGAAGGAUUUGGUGGCGUCCCGGUUUGAGUCCGGCUCGGUGACGCCCGAAAGAAGAAGGAAGCGGGGUGAGACGCUGGCGUGCGGGCCCGUGCUGUCAGCCAGAGGUGCGCUGGGUCCCAGCCGUCAGUGGCAGCAAGGAAGGAGAGGGGAGGGGCGCGCCUGCUGGCCGCGCUCUGGGCCGCCGGUUGGGCCGAGCGAGGGGGAAGAGGGGUGCUGGGCCGUGCGCGGGGGAGAAGCAGGCCAGGGGGAUAGGGCUGGCUGGGGUUUUUCCUUUUUUAUUCUUUCUUUUCCAAAACCUUUUUUUAAUAGGAGCUUGAAUGCAAUUAAUUUCCAACCAAAAGCAACAAGCAUAAAAUAAAAUAUGCUCCAGCAUGAAUGCAUAAACAAGUUCCUAACCCUAUGAUAAAUUUUAAUUUCUACAAAAAUUAAUUAAAUGCUAAGUUAAAUGCUCACAAAAUACUUAAAUAAAUCCAAUUAAUUCCUAUUAGUUAUGUCGGUGUGUGGACUCAGGGUCCAAGCACUAAAAAGUAAUAAGUCUGCGUGUCCUCCUAAACCCGAAUGUUGAUGCAAGGGAACACAGGGGAUUUAUACUGGUUCGGGCUUCAAAUGCCCUACGUCCAGUGAGGGGAUCGGAGUUUGUAUUGCCUUGCACCUGAGAGUGCUUGUAGUAGGGGUGUACAAGCUGGUUGCGAGAGAGGGCUAAGUCCCAAGUCGGGACUUUAGGGAGUAAAUGGAGGGGAGUGCACUACUUGGGUGAAGAGUGUUGUUUGUGAUCUGUGUGUGUUGCCGUGUCUUUGAUAGGUGCCCUGCCUCCCCUUUUAUAGCCGCAAGGGGUAGCAGGGUUUUUAUAUGUGUAAGUUUGUGAAUUAUCUCUGGUGAGUGUAGUAGUGACGGUGCAGGUCCUGUGGAGAUCGGCCACUUCGUCCUUUGGGUAUGGCUUGACGGCGUGGUCACUCCUAUGGAGGGUCGUUGAGCCCUGUUGAUGUUGUGGUGGUCGGGUCGGUUAUACUGCAGCGUGUCCUGCAAUAGUAAGGUAAUGUUAGUCUAGAUGUGGUCAUAGUGGCAGGGGUUAACCCUCCCCAUACCUCCUUUUAUUGUAAGGCAAUGCCCCACAGUGAAAGAGGUAAGGUUCCACAGUGACUCGAGUUGUUGAAAUAGUAGCCGGCAUGCCCUGCUGCAGCGUGGGAGGCACGGUGCACGUCACAUCGGAGGUACGACCAUCGUGUGCUGGUAGCCUGGCUCCAAGGCCGAGGCUCGAGUGAAGCACAGAUUGCGCUCGAUGCUGAGGUUUUGGUAAAGGCGAAGAUCUCGUCCGAGACUCAGGGCUCGGGCGAGACGGAGCUUGCGUUUGAGGCUAGGGGGUCAGGCGAGAUGGAGCUUGCAUCUGAGCCCAGGCGGUCGGGCGAGACGGAGCUUACGCCCGGGCCGAGGGGGGUCGGGCGUGAUGGAGCUUGCGCUCGAGCCUGAAGGGGUCGGGCGCUCGUCCUACUUCUUUUUGCCGCUUUUUGUCCCCUUAGUCUGGGUAUCCCUUUUUACGGUACCCAACAGUAGCCCCCGAGCCUAUGGAGCAGCUGGAAUGCUCCUCCAGAGGUUCCUUCUAAGAGUUGAUGGUUGGAUUAAGGCUUUUAUUUCCUCCGGAGGGUGCGCGCGAGCGCACCCGCCGGGUGUAGCCCCCGAGCCUUUGGAGGAAUGGUGGCAUUCCUUCAAAGGCUUUUACACCUUGAUGUCAUUGUAGGGAGUUUUUUUCGGGGAUAGGGUACAUGUUCUUUACAUGCAGGGCCUAUUACCCCGCGCGGGUGAAGCCCCCAAGCCCUUUUCCCUUAAGGGUCGAUCAGGGUCUUUCUCGACUUGAUUUUACGCCCCUCAUUCAUCCUUUCGCUAGGAGGAGGGAUGGGUGGCAUCGUACUAUCCUCGGUGGGUGAGUAUCGACGUUCCUAGGGAGUUGCUAGCAGGUAGAUCCAAGUGGAUGUCCGAGACCCGUUCGAUAGGGGUCGGCUUGUGGCCCUAUGGGCACAUCUCAAAAUACCCAAGGGCAGUUACGGUGGAUGUCGGAACCAUCCGAUAGGUUCUGAGGGCUCGAUGCCUCCCUCGAUGGGAUCCCACUCGUGCAACACCUGCAUGGGUCUUGGAUACGACUAGUAAGAUGCGCCGAGCCUCUGUGGGGCUCAGACCAUGGGCCUCUAUCGUGCUCACCCUCAGUCAUCCUUUGCUCUGUUAUCCUAAGGCGAAUGUUCGAACCCACUUGGUGGGUCAGUCUCGCAACCUCUGGAAUGUAAGUCGCCGUGGCCUGGGGAUUUUUACCUUAGGAGGUGUCGGCUCGGUCGUGGCAGGGGGGUCGAGUGCCGCUUGCCCUGGAAGGAACCACCCUGACUCGACCUUUAGGGCGCUCCUUUUGAGACAACCCAUAUUGAGAGCCGGAACGACCAUGCCAUUGCGCCUGAGUUAGACAAGACAUUCUGCCUACGAAUUUAAUGCGCGUGUGGGCGUGGUUGGCGUGAGAAUCGGAAAAGGAUGGAUGCUUUGGUUACCUCACCUAGUUAAUGAGGCGGCCGGCGGUUCCUCUUUCCUUCCCUAAUCUGCUGCGUGGGAGACGGACUGCAGUACGCUUUUUCUAUAAAAGCCACCGCGAGGGUCUUUGGUUUUUCCUCUACUUGCCUCUGCCUCCGAACAAUCUUGCCCCCAAGCCCCCUGCUACCGCCUUAUUGACACCACCGUGCUAAUGCAAGCACCCAUCUCCACCUGCAGCCAUGGCCGGCGACGACAUGUGGCACCCAUGCAAUGUCACCGAGGCAACGCUGGAGGCCUGUGUGAAGGGUGGACUUCUCCGUCCUAUCAUGGAUGAGGGGAUGCCGGAGUGGAUCAUGCCCCCGGUGAACGACAGGGAGCCAAACCCGCCUCUAGGCUAUGUGGUUUCCUUCCUGACUUUCCUAGACCGAGGGUUCGGGAUUCUGGCCUACCGAUUCAUGUGGGCUCUUGCGCACUACUAUGAAGUAGAGCUGCACAAUUUCAACCUGAAUUCGAUCAUGCAGGCGGCUGUCUUCGCCAUGGUGUGCGAGGGGUACUUGGGGAUUCCUCCCCAUUGGUACCUCUAGCUCCACCUAUUCAAGGUGGAGAUGUCUUCCUGCAACGAGGGCAGGGAGAAGAGGCCCUUAAGGGCCGGCGACUGCACGCUCCAACGCAUACAUCUAAAGCAUCAUGCCGUCGUCGAACCGGGGGUGGCAGAACGGGUGGUUCUACCUCCAGAACGACCACGACCUUCUUCCGGAGUACACCGGGAAGAUGGUGCUCGAGUGCCUCGCAAAAUGGGGGUGGGGUGCUCCCGCAUCGGAGCAGAAAAGGCUGGACCCCCUUCUCGAGGCCCUCGUGAAGCUUUGGCACGUGGGGGUCACUGCGGCCACGGUGGCGGUCGCCUUCCACAAGCGAAGUCUCCUGCCGCUGGCGCAGCAGGUGGUGCACAUGUGGGAGAUGACUCGUGACACUCCUUGGGCCGGGACGCGGAUGCUGGAGGCGCCAGUGUCUCCUACAGAGAUCGACACCCAAGUCUUGAGGACGAUAUCCUCGGAGUUGAAGAACUAUCGGGUGGUGCCGAUGUGUCCCAACAGGGACUACAUCUCUCUGGUAAGGCACCUCCAUCUUUGUUCCCGCUUCAUCGUCCCCUUAUUCGUUCCGACCUUUAUUUAGUCUGUCAUUUGCUCGUAGGGAAUGGGCAUUGUCAGGUAUGCCCUGCCCCUGGUCCUGGAAGAUCAAGAGAUCCGGGCCUAGAACCGGUCCAUGAAUGAAGAGCAACAGCGCUAGAAGAAUGAGAAGAAGAAGAAGAAGGCAAAGAAGGCAAAGACAGCAGACGCCUCUGCCAAGCGCCGCCGCGAGGCCGAGAAGGCGGGGCUCCACGAGCUCGAAUCUUCCGAGGCCUCAGUCUAGGAGGUUGAGGGCAGGGAAGACUCACACUGGCUGAAUGAACUCCUCGAUGAGGAGGAGGAGGAUGAAGAGGUCCUCCAGUCGAUGAGGGGACAGAGGCCCCAGGAGGGUCAUAGGUUCUAGGGGGUGCAGAGGGCACCCCCUACAUCAUCAUCGACGAUGGAGGGGAUGAAGCCCCUUGAGGGGGAUCGGUUCCACCGGAUCCCCAAGAAGGGGAGAUGGCGUCGGGCGGAGAGCCUGAGGUGCCCAUGGUGUCAAAGGGCGCAACCGAACCUCGUCCAAAGACGGAGGCAGAGGUGGAGGGCUCAGCGGAGGCGCCAAAGGCCGGAACAGCCGUCGGGGCCCUCGCGACUCCAGGAGCGGUGAUGAGUGUCCGCCCGACCACCCGCGGCGCCCAAGGAGCGCCAAGCUCCUAGAAGAGCGCUGCGCCCCGGGCAAGGUAUGUGCUUGUUCUUGAUUUCUCUUUAAUUUUUGUUUUUCUCUUUCUUCUUAUCUUUGUCCUCCUUCUGCCAGCCGGAAGUAGAAGAUGGCAUCGGUGGGGCUGGUGCCCCUGAAAGCCGUUAAGAGGGGGGCACAAUCGACCCCUAGGUCGGCAAGGCCUAGGUCGCCGCCCCCCUUGAAUCGAAAAUAAAGAGAACCCCCAAGAGGGGAUGGGGGAGGAGUCGAGGGAGAAGACGUCGUACCCCCAGACGAAGGAGGUGGAUGCGCCAAGGUCCCAAGAGCCGGAGGAGACGAUCCUGGCUCUUGGGGCCGUUCCCCCAUCUGGAGAUGUCGACCUAGGGGGCGCGUCCAGGCCUAGGCAGACCGAGGGGAGACAUGCCGAGAUGGCCCUUAGCACGGUGCCCCCAGCAAGGCCCCAUGGAAAUGGCCUGGCCCAACCAGAGGCCCCCGCGAGAGAAGGAGGGGACGUCACGCCCUGGGGCAAGGCCCUUGUGAUCUGGCCCGACCUCGAAGAUCCCGAGGGGAGGGCCAGGUUUGUCCUGGAUGACCCGUCAGAGGCUUACCUCUGGCAAGGUCUUGAGGAAUGCGGGCGCGCUAAUGUCAAGGCGAUCAAUCGAGUCCGAGCUCGUGAGUUGAGACAUGUACAAGCUUGCCUAGGUAAGAUCACCUCCCCUUUUUCCGAGGCGUAUUUUAUUUAUAUCUUUCCAUUGAUCUUAUGUGUGGUACUCUAUCUUGUAGGCGCUCAAGGCUCUGGCAGAAGUGCUCUGGGCUUGAGACCAAGGCUCAGGAAGCUUGGGAAAAGGUCGCCCCUCUGGAGAAGAGGGUUAGCGACCUUGUCUUGGAAUCUCAAGAGCGGAACACUGCCACCGAGAGAUACAAGGGCGAAGUCACACAGGUGGAGACCUUGCUCACCCAGAGGGACCUUGCCCUUAACCAGGCCCGGGACGAACUUACCGAGGCUCAAGGCUAGGUGUCUCUUUGGCAGGGGCGUGUAGAAGAGAAUCAGAAGCGGGCUGAAGGUAAAAGUCGUAACCUUACCUUUGUUAUUGGUGUAUAGGUUCUAUUGCUUACUUUUUCCUUUUUUUACCGCAGAGCUGGAGAGGAAGGUGGUCGAGGCAUCUUCUGUGACGGACGCCCUGAAGAAGUCUCUCGAUGCCGAGGUCUCGGAAUGUUCAGCAUUGGAAGCUGUGGUCACCUCGGCUUGCGAGGGACUUGGGGUAAGGCAGACGCAUCAGGGUCCUCUCUACGGGGUCGCAUCGAGACUUUGUACUCCUAGGACGGGGAGAGGCAGGCGCAUCGGGGUCCUCUCUGUGGGGCCGUGUCAUGCUGGGGUGAAGAAAGCCCUGGCCAUGGUGAGCUCUCACUACGUUGGCAUUGACUUGUCGGCGGUCAGUGAGGGGUACGUCGUUCCCGACGAUGAGGCGGAGGCCUAGGAGGAAGUGUAGAAACUCGCCGACGCUGCGGAGGCACCAGGAGAUGCCCUGGCCACCUUCUUUGACGCCAAAGUGGAGCUUCCCCCCCUCGGUGUGCAGGAUGCUAGACAGUCAGGGAAAUGAGGCCCUUGUAUUAGUUAGUUUAUUUUGUGAACAUCAGAGGCCAAUGGGCUCCCACUUUUGUAAACUUAAUUUUUAUAUGAAUGUUUUCUUUUUAGAAAUUCCUUGUGUUUCUCUUUUUCCCUAGGGCUGACCCAGCCUCGGCAGCGUGAGGUUGGGUGAGCCACCGAAGGUCAGAGCUUUUUAGUGGGGCGUCCCAAGCCUAAGUCCCUUUCCCUUUCUUAGUGUUCUAAAAUCCGGGCAGACUUAUCUCCUGGUCCUAAGGAGUGAGAAGAAAGUGUCCUAGCCCGUGGGUGUGGAUCUACUUCCAAGCUCGUUCCUCUUAAGACUUAGGUGAUUAAUUUGCGGUUCUUAGUCUCUUUAAGAAAGAGAAAAAGAUCUUGGGUUGGGGAGUUCCAAAUUAAGCGAAAAAUUUAGGGUCAUCACAGGGGGUUCCCCCCGUGUAGCCCCCUAGGGAGGUUCGGACUCUGCAGGGCAGAGCCGAGGCUCACUCUCUAAAAAGAAACAGACAUAUAAUUUAUAUCUUUUAUUAUUUCUCCAAGGUAAAGUUGUUGAUGCAAAAGAUGAUCUGCAAACACAAAGGGCUAAUACCCGAUUCAAACGUUAAGGCGUGCCAGCCGAUUUGACCUUACUAUCGGCAAAGGUGAUAACUUGAAUACUUUGGUCCCGACAACAGCGAUGCGCCCAGAUGCCACGGCCAAGAGGUAUUCACGCGGAACUUGAGAAUACGCCGAGCUUAAGUCGAUGAACUCCGAAGAACUCGUAAUGAAAAGGAAAAAUAUGACGAAGUCGUCGAAAAGUAAGUACUGGAAUAUGAAUAAAAGCUUGUGUUUGAUUGAUUGAUAGAUUCAUGUCUUACAAGGCCCUUGGGUCUACAUUUAUACCCUGCUCAAAAGAGAUACAACCUGAUACGACUAGAACUCGAAUUCCAAAUUAAAUAGAAUCCGUAUACAAAACGAUUUAAAUAACUAAGGAAAAACAUAAAACUAUCCCCCCGUGACAACCUGGGACGCCACCUAGACCAAUCGGCAACCUUCAAGUCUUCCUUCCGCGUUAUCGGCAGACUCUCCAUCGUAGCCAUCGGCAAAGGUUAAUGCUAGCUAUCGGCAUAAACACAUCACCACCCAUGGACUUAGCCACAUCCAGCUGUCUCCUCAUCGGCAACCACCCUCAUCGGCAACUCUUCUGCAGACCAGUUACCAUUGCCCUAUCUUGCCGAUCUACACUCUACCGAUCCUGGGCACGUGUCCAAAAAUGGUGUCAACAAAAGUACAAGUGAUUUCUUUUACAAAAUUUUAAGGAUACAAGCGACGUAGCUAUUCUAUGUUCCAUGCGUUGUUGUAGACCUCUCCUUCCUCGUUGGCGAGCCUAUAUGUGCUGGGUCGGAGGACUUCGGCGAUGACGAAGGGUCCUUCCUAGGGAGGCAUGAGCUUGUGGCAGCCCUUGUUGCUUUGCCUGAGCCUCAGCACCAAGUCGCCGACUUGGAAGGCUCGGCCUCGGACUUGUCGAGCAUGGUAGCAUCGGAGGGCCUGCUGGUACUUGGCAGAAUGUAGGAGGGCUACAUCCCUGGCUUCGUCCAGCUAGUCCAGCGCAUCCUCUAGGAACGUCUUGUAGCUAUUCUGGUCAUAAGCUUGUACCCUUGGAGACCUGUACUCUAGGUCUAUGGGCAGUACAGCCUCAGACCCAUAGACCAUGAAGAACAGGGUGAAACCUGUGGCUCAGCUUCGAGAAGUCGUUAGACUCCACAUCACAGCCGGUAGCACUUUGAGCCACCUCUUUCUGAACUUGUUCAGCCGAUUAAAAAUUCUGGGCUUCAGUCCUUGGAGGAUCAUGCCAUUGGCACGUUCUACCUGACCAUUGGUCUUUGGAUGAGCCACUGCUGCCCAGUCCACACGUAUGUGGUGUCUAUCAAAGAAAUCUAGGAAUUUUCGCCCGGUGAACUGUGUGCCGUUAUCUGUGAUAAUGGAGUUGGGCACUCCAAAUCGGUGGAUAAUAUCUGUGAAGAACAACACUGCUUGUUUGGCCUUGAUUCUUGUGAUGGGUCGGACCUCAAUCCACUUGGAAAACUUGUCGAUCGCGACAAGCAUGUGGGUGAAGCCCUCAGGCGCUUUCUGUAGAGGCCCGACGAGGUCGAGGCCCCAGACAGCAAAGGGCCAUGUGAUGGGGAUCAUCUAUAGAGCCCGAGCCGGGAGGUGGAUCUGCCGAGCGUAGAACUGGCAUCCCUUACAGGUUCGAACGAUUUGAGUGGCGUCUGCCACAGCUGUGGGCCAGUACAAACCUUGUCGGAAGGCAUUUCCUACAAGCGUUCAAGGCACCGCAUGGUGGUCGCAAGCCCCCGAGUGUAUCUCCUGAAGGAGUUUUAUCCCUUCGUGACGGGUGAUGCAGCGCAUGAGAACGCCCGAGGGGCUACGCUUGAACAUCUCGCCAUCGAGAAGUACAAAAGCCUUGGCAUGACGAGCUACUCGCCGCGCCUCGGCUUGGUAUGGAGGUAGAGUGACAUCGACGAGGCGUUGCAGGAGAGGAUAACGCUAGGAGUUUUAUCUCUUCCUGACUGGUGAUGCAGCACAUGAGAACGCCCGAGGGGCUGCGCUUGUACAUCUCGCCAUCGAGAAGUACAAAAGCCUUGGCACGACGAGCUACUCGCCGCGCCUCGGCUUGGUCUGGAGGUAGAGUGCCAUCAACGAGGCAUUGCAGGAGACGAUAACGCCAAUCCAGCAAGUCAUCUGGGGCGGGUGCCUCGGACUCAAUGUCCAUAGCCUCUGGCUCGGGAGUCGCGGAGGGCUCGGAAUUCAGACCUGGGUCGGUCGAGGAACGAUCCGAGCCUCCACCUUCUUUGUAGUCAACGGAGGCCUUGUAGAGGUCACUGACAAAGACAUCCAGGGGGACUGUAGCCUCCUUGGAUGCCAUUUUUGCAAGUGCAUUGGCGGCCUCAUUGUAUUUUCUCAACACGUGGUUAAGCUCGAGGCUGUCGAAUUUUUCCUGCAGGCGCAGGACCGUCUUGUAGUACGCGUCCAUCUUGGGAUCAUGGCAACAAGACUCCUUCAUGACCUGGUCAAUGAUGAGCCUAGAGUCACCUCGGACAUCGAGCCGCUUGAUCCCAAGCUUGAUCACAAUGUGGAGACCAUUGAAAAGGGCCUCAUACUCCGCCACGUUAUUUGAGGCGGGGAAGUGGAGUCGGAUCGCGUAUCGCAUCCUUCCUCCGAGGGGUGAGAUGAAGACGAGGCCUGCGCCAGCCUCGGUUUUCAUCAGAGAACCGUCGAAGUACAAGGUCCAACACUCGGAUUGGAUCUCGGGUGGAGGGAGCUGAGUUCCCAUCCACUCAGCCACGAAAUCGGCCAAAACUUGGGAUUUUAUAGCCUUCCGAGGCUCGUAGGUGAUUCCGUCACCCAUGAGUUCUAUAGCCCACUUAGCAAUUCUGCCAUUAGCCUCUCGGUUUUGGAUCACCUCUCCUAAAGGAAAAGAUGAGACCACCUAGAUGGGAUGAGACUCAAAGUAAUGGCGGAGCUUGCGUCGAGCUAGGACUACCGUAUAGAGUAGUUUUUGAAUUUGGGGAUAUCGGGUCUUAGUGUCGGAGAGUACUUCGCUGACGAAGUACACCGGUCUUUGGACUGGUAGGGCAUGCCCCUCUUCCUCUCGACCAUGAUAGCUGCACUGGCCAAUUGGUCAGUGGCUGCAACAUAAAGGAGGAGUGGUUCCCCUUCGGUGGGGGGCACCAAGAUGGGAGGGUUGGUGAGCAAAGCCUUGAGUCUGUCAAUGGCUUCCUAGGCCUCGGUGGUCCUGAAAAAGUGCUCAGAUUUUCUAAAUAACCUAUACAGAGGCAACCCUUUCUCCCUGAGGUGGGAGAUGAAACGGCUAAGGGACGCAAGGCAUCCCAUGACUCUCUGUACCCCUUUUAGGUUACAGAUUGGGCCCAUGUUAGCUAUGGCUGAGACCUUCUCUGGGUUGGCCUUGAUCCCCCGCUCAGAGACAACGAACCGAGGAGCAUGCCUCGGGGGACCCCAAAAAUGCAUUUCUCGGGGUUCGGUCUGAUUCCCUCAGCCCUGAGGCACCGGAAUGUUUCAUCUAGGUUCACCAUAAGGCCGCUUGUCUUCCUAGAUUUGACCAAGAUGUCAUCUACGUAAGCCUCUACUGUUUUGCCUAUGAGGUCUCCGAAGACCUGGAGCAUACAUCGUUGGUAUGUAGCCCCCGCGUUCUUAAGGCCGAACGGCAUGGUGACGUAGCAAAACAUUCCAAAAGGGGUGAUGAAAGAGGUUGCGAGCUGGUCGGACUCUUUCAUCUUGAUUUGGCGGUACCCGGAGUAUGCAUCAAGAAAAGACAAAGUUUCACAUCUCGCCGUAGAGUCAACUAUUUGGUCAAUACGAGGCAAUGGAAAAGGAUUCUUAGGACAUGCUUUAUUUAUACUAGUAUAGUCUACACACAUCCUCCAUUUCCCAUUUUUCUUUUUGACUAAGCGUUAGCUAACCACUUGGGAUGGAAUACCUCCUUGAUGGACCCAGCCGCCAGCAGCUUCUGGAUCUCCUCCCUAAUGGCCCGAUGCUUUUCCUCGUCGAAUCGGCGUAGGCGCUGCUUCAUGGGCUUGGAGCUGGCUCGGAUGUCGAAGGAGUGCUCGCCGACUUCCCCCGGUAUGCCUGGCAUGUCCGAGGGACUCCACACAAAUACGUCAGCGUUUGCGCAGAGAAAGUCGACGAGCACUGCUUCCUAUUUGGGGUCGAGGCUCGAGCUGAUCCUCAAUGCCUUGCCUUUGAAGGCCUUGGGGUCGAGGAAGAUGAGCUUGGUCUCCUCCACCGACUCGAAGCUCCCGGCAUGAUGUUUGGGGUCAGGGAUGUCCUGAUCGACGUCGUCGAGGAUGGUGAUGAUGGAUAGUGACUCGGCUAGAGCCUCGGCCUACUCAAUGCACUCUACGUCGCAUUGGUAGGCAUGCUAGCUUGUCGUGCUGAUGGUGAUGAUGCCAUUUGGGCCUGGCAUCUUGAGCUUGAGGUAGGUGUAGUUGAGGAUGGCUAUGAACUUGGCGUAGCAUGGUCUCCCCAGAAUCACGUGGUAGAUCCCGUGGAACCCGACCACGUCAAAAGUAAGGACCUGCCGCCUGAAGUUGUCGGGAGUCCCAAAGCAGAUGGGCAGAUCGAUCUGCCAGAGAGGAUGGGCUCGGUGCCCUGGCGCCACUCCAAGGAAUGGCAAUGCAUCAUUGCUUAGCCGAGACUUAUUGAUCCCCAUGAGGGCUAUGGUCUCGGCGUAAAGAAUAUUGUGGCUGCUGCCUCCGUCCAUCAACACCUUGGAGAGGCAGGUCUCGGUGAUGAUGGGGUCGACGAUGAGUGGAUAACUCCUGGGAUUCAGGAUCCGAUCCGGGUGAUCCUGUCGAUCGAAAGUGAUGGCGCUCUCCGACCACUUGAGGCAUGAGGGCGCGGUUGUGCUAACCGUGCAGACCUCUCGGAGCUCGCGCUUCCUUUGACUCGUGGUGAGGUGAGCCGCGUGUCCCCCAAAGAUCAAGAGGCAGUUCUUGACUUUGGGGAAGCCUUCCCCUUCGUCGUCGUUGUCCUUGGGGGGGCUCUUCUGCGUCUUCUUUGGUCGUAAUGCCGGUGUAGUAUCGACGCAGGACGGUGCACUCCUCGAGGGUGUGUUUGCUGGGACCCCUAUGAUAGGGGUAUGGCUUCUUCAACAUUUCGUUGAAGAGCCCGGGGCCAGCAAGAGCCCGCUUCGGGUUCUUGCGAUCUGCCGCGGCGACCAAGUUGUCGUCGGACUGACCCUGCUUCCCCUUGCGACCCUUUUUCUUCUUCUUAGGGUCUUGGGAGCCUGAGGCAUCAGUGGCCUCGGCCUUCUGCUUCCCCUUGGUGUUGCCGUCAGAGAAGAUCGCACCAACUACCUCUUCACCCGAGGCGAAGUUGGUGGCAAUAUCGAGCAGCUGGCUAGUGCUCGUGGGGGUCUUGCGCCCGAGCUCGUGUACCAGCUCCUUACAGGUGGUGCCAGCGAUGAAGGCUCCAAUGACGUCGGAGUCCGUGAUGUUAGGGAGCUCGGUGCACUGCUUGGAGAAUCACCAGAUGAAAUCUCGAAGAGAUUCAUUAGGCUUCUACCGAUAGCUCCUGAGAUCCCAUGAGUUCCCAGGGUGCACAUAUGUGCCCUGGAAGUUCCCGACAAAGAUCUUACCAGGUUGGCCCAGUCGUGGAUCAGACGCUCAGGAAGGUGCUCGAGCCACGCCCUGGCUGAAUCUGCCAGGUGUAGUGGCAGCUUGUAGAUGAUGAGCAGAUCAUCCUCCGCUCUGCCUAACUAGCAUGCUAGGAACUAGUCCGCUAGCCAGAGCUCAAGGUUUGUCUCCCCUGAGUACUUGGUGAGGUUUGCUGGCUGUUGGAACCAGGCUUGGAAUUUGGCCCUGCGGAUGGCCUCGCUGAAAACGCAGGGCCCUGGAGGCUCAGGCGAUGUGCUGCGGUCGUGCUCGGGGUCAUACCUUCCGCCUCAGCACAGACGGUAGCGUUGAGACUCGGCCUCGUCCCUGUCACGACGUCUGGCCUCAAGGGUGGCCCGGGCAUCCACAUUGGUCCCCAUGCCCUCAUGGACGGAUGGGGCCUUAGCGCCCCCUUGCGGGUUAGGGGGCACCAGGCCUUGCACGGUUGGUGCCUUGUUGGGAGGGGGUUGAUCCCCGAGGCGUCUUGCCCUUGAGUCGUGGGACUGUGAUGUAGAGCUUUCCGCAUUUUGUACCACGGCUUGGUCCAGGAGGCCAUGAAGCCCCUGGCGCACCCUUCUUCCCUCAGGAGUCGAUGGCUCAGGCAUCGCUCAGAGGAGUAGCGCAGCAGCCAUUACGUUUUGGCCACAUCCCCGUCCCCCCGAGUGGACUGGUCUCGCUCUAGGGUCUCGCGCAACUGUCGGAGACGCACACGUUCCUCUUCGAGCCUGGCCUCCAGCUCAUUGUGCUGCUCGAGGUGAGGUCGACAAACCUCUGCUAGAGCUGACGCGGCUUUGUGUGCUCCAGGGUGACUUCUAGGGUGUCGGUGCAAAAGUAAAUCUGCAAACACAAAGGGCUAAUACCCGAUUCAAACGUUAAGGCGUGCCAGCCGAUUUGACCUUACUAUCGGCAAAGGUGAUAACUUGAAUACUUUGGUCCCGACAACAGCGAUGCGCCCGGAUGUCACGGCCAAGAGGUAUUCACGCGGAACUCGAGAAUACGCCGAGCUUAAGUCGACGAACUCCUAAGAACUCGUAAUGAAAAGGAAAAUAUGACGAAGUCGUCGAAAAAGUAGAUGCUAGAAUAUGAGUAAAAACUUGUGUUUGAUUGAUUGAUAGAUAUCUCGAUUACAAGGCCCUAGGGUCUACAUUUAUACCCUGCUCAAAGAGCUACAAUCAAACAUGACUAGGACUCGAAUUCCAAAUUGAACGGAAUCCAUAUACAAAACGAAUUUAAAUAUCUAUGGAAAACAUAAAACUAUCCUCCCGUGACAAACCGGGACACCACUGUAGAUCAAUCGGCAACCCUCACGUUCUCCUUCCGAGUCAUCAGUAGACUUCUCAUCAUAGCCAUCGGCAAAGACUAACGCUGACUAUCGGCACGAACGCGUCACCACUUCUGGACUUAGUCACAUUCAGCUGUCUCUUCAUCGGCAACCACCCUCAUCGGCAACUCCCCUGCAGACCAGUUACUGUUGCCCCAUCUUGUCGAUCUAUACUUUACCGAUCCCUGGGUACGUGUCCAAAAAUGGUGUCAACACAUGCCCCCCAAUUUCGGAGUAUGAAAUCAUUAAUGCUCCAAAAUUCUCUGCAAUAAUGAUGCCUUUCCGCAAUUAAUUCCCCCAAUUUGGUAACCGACCGUUUAAAUCUGAACAACCUUGGCCCGAUUAUCCUGCAGGUUCCUCGAAUUCCUCAACCUUCCGAAACGGAUCUCUCCACUUCAUGCACCCAUUGGCAAUAUUACCGUUAGGAGGAACUGCCGAUGGACUGACCAAGAAAUCUUGCACAGUGGAAUAUCUCCAGAUCAAGACUGCUUCCUAUCAAAUCACCUGCGCAAUCCCUUGAUUAUCGUGCGAACAGUUACCAUAUCCACCUGAGUAUCCUCGGAUUUCAUGGAUAUGGCGAAGAGUCCAAUUUGCCCUUGCCCGUUUUGUCCUAUAAAUACUUCCUUCUCGGGUACUCCUUCUCCAUCACAUCAUUCUACAGCCCCAACUCUGCUUUCCUGGUGGCGGCACUAUUCGAGAGCUCCAAGAACUCCAACAAGAACUUCCUCCAACUACUCCCAAGUUUUCGAUCUUCUCCCCUGCGAGGAGAUGGCCAUCAACUUCGUCGUUCCUGAGAUCAGCGUACUACCCUUUUUUUGUACUUUUACUGUAUCCCAGUUCAUCCGCAAUCUUCCUUACCGAAUCCUUUUUUCUUUUUGUUCUCCUUUCGUUCCCAAAAAUUUCUAGGAUUUGGCUAACAAGAUCGUUAUUCCUACCGAUCAACCCCAUCUCCAAUGCCUUGGUCUACUAGGGAACUUGGAUCCCACCGAUCCUAUAAACGCAGAGACAAACAGAAUCCCUUUUAGAGCCGAGAAUUUUUCUCUAGAUCUAUGGAAAGACGCCUUCCGUUCCUGGCCCUGUCCUACCAAGGGAUGGAAGGAUUGGUUUCUGAGAGUCAGUAAUUCAAAUGAAGUCCAAUGGGGUGAACGGAAAUUAGAUCAGUGCAUUAGACUGUCUCUUGCCGAUAUGGAGAGAAAUGAGUCGCUACUGAUAGCUGCCUCAUACUUCUGGUCAGAUACACUUAAUGCUUUCGUGUUUGGCCAUGGCCCUGCUUCCCCUACACUUGCCGAUGUUCUCAUGCUCACCGGUUUAGACAUAUCCACUGCCGAUACCACCCACCUGUUCGACACCAAACCCAGUGCUAAGGUAGAAACCCGUGCUAUCGGUGGUUGGUCAGGGUAUAUUUAGAAGUACCGCCGAACAGGACCUGUCAAUAUAAAGGAAUAGACCACCUUCCUGAACAUGUGGUUAGAUAAGUUUGUAUUCUGUGGUCGAUCGGCAGGACCAACUUCACCUAUCGGCAGCAGAAAGGCUAGCUAAUGGUGGCCGAUUUCCUCUUGGCCGAUACCUGCUCGGCUCUGCUUAUCACCUCCUCCAUCAAGUAGCUCACAAACUACUGCUUGGUCAAUCCAUCGGCAACUUAGGGGGUCCCUGGUGGUUCAUUAAUAUGUGGCUUAGUCUUCACAUGCACAAGCGCCUUGAGUUUGACCUCUUUGCUCAGCGCUUCCCUAGAGAUAUAGCUGAAGAUUAUGAACUGGAUGAGGAAGAAUCGGCAACUCGUUCCCCUCUGAACUUUGGCAAAGCCGUCAUAGUUUUGCCUGGCACAGGCGGCAACGCAGACCAGGUCAGCCGAUUCUUCCAAACUCUGUAUGAGGGUUUGACCAGGGAACAGCGGGCAUGGAUGCCUUAUGAAGACCCAGACACCAGAUUCCCUCUGACUUUCCACCUCUUCAAUGAUGCUCUCAACAAGGAUCGUGAGGUGAUGAUGGCAAUUAUCACCCCAGAGCUAUACCGGUGAACUUCUUUGGCAGUGGGAAAACUUCUAACCUGACUUAUGAGUUCUACAAUCCAUCGGCAUUAGCUCGUCAACUAGCUUUCGGCCAACUGCCGAUUGUACUUUGCUACGCCGAUGUGAUAAAACCGAGAGAGAUUAUCACCAGCCAUCUGGAAUGGAUCAGGGUAGCCCAACUUCCACCAAACGCCGAUACAGAUGUUGAUCUAUCGGCUUGAAUCCCAGCUCUCUUCAUCACUCAGGCAUACAAACAGUGGUGGGAAGAAUAGAAAGAGCACCUGUUCUACAGAUCGGCUCUUACAUACUGUGGCAUGAUCGACCCUCCAUACAAAGUCCUCGAUACCACUGUAAGUACUUCCGAACCGAUGUUUCAAUCCUUUCAUUUUCACUUUCUAUCGGUAUCUUACUUCCUUGUUAUAUGCAGGUCGAUGACACACCCCCAUUGGUCAGCAGGAGUGGCAAGCCGAUUGAGCUCCUUCCAUCAGGCCCGAUCUCUUUGAUCGGCAACAAUGCUCCAACUCUAGCUGCUAUAAUGCAUCGGGGUGUGCGCCUCAAGAAGGUCACCACCAAACGAAUGAGAACAUCCCCAUCGGUAGCUGCUACUGCCCUGGCACAAGCCUUCAAGGUACAUUCUCUAAUUCUUUAUUCAUACCGAUCUCAUUCUUAUACAUAUCACACUUGUACUCAUAAACUUCUUAUCGUUGUAUCAGCACACCAGUACAUCGGCAAAGACCAGAAGUACGACUGCCGAUGCCCCCCAGUCUAGUCAACCGAAAAGAAAGGGUUCCAAGAUUACCAGAUCACAAGCAAAGCGUCAGAGAACAGCAACGCCUUCUCCUCCCCCAGUAUCUCCAAUCCCAGUAGAAUCAUCUCCCUCUUCUCCAGAAAUCCAAACACAGCAGAUUCCAUCUCCUCCUCAGUCACAAGAAGAACCCCAAGUGGAAGAGCUCCAGCCAGAGGUACCUCAGCCAGAAGAGAUACCGGCUGAUGUACACGAGCAGACCACCGAUCCAGCAAGCCUAAUCAUAGCAUCGGUAGUCUCCUCGAUCCAGACAAGCACUGCACCUCCUCAAGGUAAUAUACUUUCUAUUUACUGCCGAUGAACCUAUUUUCCCACUUUACUAAUCACUUCUGUCAAUCUUUCAGCUAACAUAGUUUCAUCGGCAAUCCCAGCCGAUCAGCCCGUGGUUCCAUCGGCGUCAUCCAGUCAGAGGCGAGAGAUGGCCCUGAAACAAGUAAGUUACCCAAUCUCUAUCUGUAUUAUUUAUCAGUACUUGAUCAUAGAAUAACUUAUUUUAUUUUCCUUUUCAGGAACAGGACUCUCCUGACAGCUUGUUCUCCUUUGCCAUCGACAUCUCUGAGGAUGAAGGCGAGGAGGCAAGUUCUUCUCGAGCUAUUGGAAUCUCAUCGGCAGAAAUCAGAGCAAAGUUAGAAGAAUUGUCGGCCCUUCUUCAUCAAGACACGGCCCAAUUGGUCGACGAUUCCGAUUCAGCCAAGGCCUUGUUCAAGACUCUCAGAGGCCAAAUUCCUGCCGAUGCCGAGGAGAUCCUCUUCAAGGAUGCUCACUUAGAAAGUCGGCAGCUUCAAUAUCAAUAGGCCGCUCAACGCCUUGCCGAUAGGGCUAAUCAUGCUCAGCUAUCAGAAGAGAUGAUAAAAGUGAAGCUCCUUGCCGAUGAAAAGCACAAGAACAUCGGCAUCUUGAAAUCCUCGGGGGAUGUAUUGAAGCACAAGAUUUCUGAGCUAUCGGCAAAGAGAGAGGCCCUAUUGACAGAACUCAAGCAGGUAGAAGAAAGCCAGCUUCCUGAAGCGAUCAAGCUUCUUGAACAAGAGCGAAAUGUCGAAGCUCGCAAAGCACUGCAGAUGAAGAAGAAGCUGAAGCCAGUGGAGGGCUCUACCGAUGACGACAUGAAGGAGAUAGAAGAAGCCAACCAGAUCCGUCUGCGCGCCAUAUCGACGAUCCAGGCUUUGUUAAACAUGUGAAUUCUUCAUCGGCGGCACAUUUGCUCUUUUCUUUUAAACACUCCUAAUAUUUUGGUCUAGCCGAUAGGACUGUUAUCGGCACCUUUUAAAACAUUAGGUCCGGCCCUAGAUACACUUUUGAUUCAGCCGAUAGGAAUGUUAUCGGCACUUAAACUUUCAUGCAUCAAGCCAUAUGCUGGGGUAAUAUCUCUUUAAAUAUUUGCCGUUCAAUGCCCUAGGAAAUUCAACUCCUUCGAGAGUUUCUAAGAUAUAGGUGUUGCCAGGAGCAGAUCGAUUUAUACGAUAGGGACCCUCCCAAUUGGGAGACCACUUCCCAAAUUUUGAACUUUUAGUCCCGAUCGGUAACAUUAGUUUCCACACUAAGUCUCCAUCGGCAAACUCCUUAGCCUUUACCUUCUUAUCGUACCAUCUGGCAACUCUCUUCUUAUUUUCUUCUAUACUUAUCAAAGCCCUUAGCUGAUGCCCUGCUAGAUCAUCCAACUCGUCUGUCAUCAAAGUAGUAUAAUCAUCGGCAGUCAAUUGAUCUUGAAAAGAUAGUCGCCUAGACCCAGUCUUAAUUUCCCAAGGUAACAUUGCAUCAUGUCCAUACACCAACUGAUAAGGUGAAACUUUGGUCGACCCAUGACAAGCCAUCCGAUAUGACCAUAAAGCUUCAUUCAACAAUGUAUGCCACCUCCUAGGAUUUUCUUCAAUCUUUCGUUUAAUAAGCUUGAUAAUUCCUUUGUUAGAUGCUUCGCCCUGCCCAUUAGCUUGAGCAUAAUAAGGAGAAGAAUUUAAUACUUUAAUUCCCAUACCGAUUGCAAACUCAUCAAACUCCCCUGAUGUAAACAUAGUACCCUGAUCGGUAGUAAUUGUCUGAGGAAUUCCAAAUCAGUAAAUGAUAUGCUCCUUCACAAAAUCAAUCAUAUUGGCCGAUGUAACUUUCUUCAAAGGAAUAGCUUCAACCCAUUUGGUGAAAUAAUCGGUGGCAACCAAGAUAAACUUAUGUCCUUUGCUGGAUGGCGGAUAAAUCUGGUCGAUCAAGUCAAUAGCCCAUCCUCGGAACGACCAAGGUUUGAUGAUAGGAUUCAUGGCCGAUGCGGGUGCUCUUUGAACAUUGCCAAAUUUCUGACAUCCUUGACACCCCUUGAAAUAUUUAAAGCAAUCUUCAAGUAUGGUUGGCCAAAAAUACCCAUCCUCCUAAUCAUCCACUUCAUCUUAAAAGCCGACUGAUGUGCUCCACAUACUCCUUCAUGGAUUUCUCCCAUUAAACUUUUAGCUUCAUCAUCACCUAAGCACCUGAGAAGAAUCCCAUCAAUAGUUCGAUAAUAUAAUUCAUCUUCAAGGAGCACAUACUUGGUGGCUUGAAACCGAACACGUCUCUCAACUUUCUUGGAUGGAUCCUUUAAAUAAUCAAUGAUUUCUUUUCUCCAAUCAUCGGCACUGAUUGCCGAUAUUGCGUUUAACAUGGGUUGAUAUCCCAACGCAUGCUGAGCCAACCGAUUGGCCUCUUCAUUAUGCAACCGAGGAACGUGCUCUAAUCGGAAAUCCUUGAAUUCCUUUAACAGUUGCGUACUUUUUCAUAGUAAGUUAUCAAGACCUUGCUUUGGCAUUCGUAACUUCCAGCCAAUUGAUUUAUAACCAACAUAGAAUCUCCAAAGAUUUCAACAGCAUCAGCACGAACCUCUUUUAACAACUCCAACCCCUUAAUUAAAGCUUGAUAUUCAGCUUGAUUAUUUGUCGACGUGGCAACAGUCGGCAAGGAGAACUCAUAUUUCCUUCCCUAAGGGGAAAUUAGCACUAUGCUGAUUCCUGCCCCCCGAUCACAUGUGGAUCCAUCAAAGAAGAGCGUCCACGGUACAAUUUCCAAAGCCUCCACUGCACCGCAAUGUUGAGUCACAAAAUCGGCCAUAAUAUGUCCUUUAACCGCUUUAGCCGAUUCGUAACGCAGAUCGAAUUCCGACAAUGCCAAAAUCCACUUACCGAUCCUACCACUCAUGAUCGGCAUAGACAGCAUAUAUCGGACCACGUCAUCUUUGCAUAUAAUAUUGCAUUCGGCCGAUAGUAAAUAGUGCCUCAAUUUAGUACAUGAGAAAUAUAGGCACAAACAUAACUUUUCAAUGGCCGAAUACCUGGUCUCAGCAUCAACCAAUCUCCUGCUUAAAUAGUAAAUCACACAUUCCUUCCCUUCAAAUUCUUGAAUUAAAGCCGAACUGAUGACCAUCCCAUCGGUAGACAAAUAUAACCUGAAGGGCUUUCCUUGCUGAGGUGGAAUCAGAACUGGAGGAUUUACCAAAUAAUUCUUGAUUUCAUCUAAAGCCAACUGUUGCUCCUUUCCCCAUACGAACUCUUGAUCGGCUUUCAAUCUAAGUAAAGGACUGAAAGCAUGAAUUUUACCAGACAAGUUAGAUAUAAAUCUCUUGAUAAAAUUUACCUUGCCGAUCAAGGACUGGAGCUCAGUUUUGUUGGUAGGAGCAACUAUUUUAUUGAUAGCAUCAAUGGAUCUCCUACUAACUUCAAUCCCCCUUUGAUGCACCAUGAAACCAAGGAAUUGUCCUGCCGAUACGCCAAAUGCACACUUGUUAGGGUUCAUCUUCAAACCAUGCUUCCUUGUGCAUUCUAACACCUUUCGCAAAUCGGCAAGAUGCUUUGUGAAGUCUCCAGACUUAACCACCACAUCAUCAAUAUAAAUUUCCACCAGCUUGCCGAUGAACUCAUGAAAUAUAAAAUUCAUAGCCCUCUGAUAAGUAGCACCAGCAUUUUUCAAACCAAAGGUCAUGACUAUCCAUUCAAACAACCCAACAUGACCAGGAAAUCUAAAUGCAGUCUUUGGAAUAUCUUCUUCAGCCAUGAAUACCUGAUUAUACCAUGCAUUGCCAUCCAUAAAGCUAAUGAUCCAAUGCCCAGCCGCAGCAUCAACUAGCAGAUCGGCAACUGGCAUUGGGUAGCCAUCCAUCGGUGUAGCUUUAUUAAGAUUCCUGAAAUCAAUGCAAACCCGAAGCUUCCCAUUUUUGUUAUAGACUGGAACAACAUUGGAAAUCCACUCGGUAUACCGACAUUGUCGAAUAAAUUUAGCUUCGAUGAGUUUGGUUAUUUCGGCCUUAAUAUCUGGAAGAAUAUUAGGAUUACAUCGGCGAGCUGGCUGUUGAUGUGGCCGAAAUCCAGACUUGAUGGGUAACCGAUGUUCAACAAUCGAUCGGUCCAAACCAGGCAUCUCAGUAUAAUCCCAAGCAAAGCAAUCUUUAUAUUCCUUUAACAAAUCGGUUAACUACUGCUUACACUCAGGAUUUAACUUAGCACUAAUAAAAGUAGGCCUGGGCUUAUCACCACUACCUAUAUCUACUUCUACCAAAUCAUCGGCCGAUGUGAAUCCCUGGCCUAAUUUUCCAUCAUCGGUGAAUCUAUCCAUUAGAACUCCUCGUCAGAACCGACUGCUUCGAUCGGUGGAAUUUCAUAAUCGGCAACUUUGAGGAACUCCUUCUCCCAAACUUCUCCUGAGAUACACCUAGUUCUUUCAUAAGUGUCCGCCUCUGUCGAUGCAAUGACAUAAGAAGAAUCGCUCGGGACAAUCUCAAUCUUGUCACCUACCCACUGGACCAAGCACUGGUGCAUUGUAGAUGGGAUGCAACAAUUGGCAUGAAUCCAAUCUCUCCCUAGAAGCAAGUUAUAAGCACCUUUUUCCGCUGAUCACGAAGAAAGUUGUCGGCAAGGUUUUGCUGCCGAUGGUCAACUCGACGCAUAUUGCCCCCUUAACUGAAGACACGUUUCCCUCGAAGUCCUUUAACAUCAUAUCGGUCUUGGUCAAAUCUUGUCCCCUUUUCCAAGCUUCCGAUAUACUGCAUACGGCAUGAUGUUGAUAGCGGCUCCACCAUCAAUUAAUAUCUUGGUCAUUGGCUGACCAUCAACCCUUACUUUGACAAACAGGGCUUUAAGAUGCUGCCUUUCAUUGUCGGCAGGCUUUUCAAAGAUAGCCGUCAUCGGAUCCAGAGCCAACUGAGCUAUCUGGUCGGAAAACUCCAACUCCUCAUCAUCGCUGGAUGGCGCAAGGAAUUCCACCGGCAACAUAAAUACCAUAUUAACUUCUGCCGAUGGCCCUUUCCCCUUAGUAUCUGAUUGUUGCUGAUCCCCAGAUUGGCCAGAGUUCUCGCCCUUGCUUAGCUCUUCUCGUCUUUCGCGCUGCAGACUCUUUUUCUUUGUUUUAGUCAACCCCUCUGGACACCAUGGGGGAAGUGGUGACUGCCUUGCCGAUGGACGACAAUGUUCCCUUGACUCCAUCCGAUAGUGUUAGCGUCCCUGCAAAAUAUGAACUCAUCAGGAACCUGUGCAUUAGCCAUCUCCUCAAGCUCUUCCUGAUUCCUAGAAAAUAUUCAACACGAUCACCAAGUCUAUCGUGCACACUGAGUCUGCCCCCCAGCUGAUCAUGAACGGACGCUCUCCCCUAAUCGGCCCAUUAAAUCGCCGAUCAUCAUCGUGAUAGCGUCGAUCGGAUCUGUCAUACCGAUUAUAACCAUUGCAUUCAGGGCAAUCUCUAACAGUGGGCAACUUGAUGUUCUGCUCCCAGCAAUGGAUAAAGAAUGGGUAGUUCCAGUGAUCUCUAUGCCGAUUCCACUCCUGUCGGCGUCUUUCUUCUUCCCAAUGAUAGUCUUCUUGUUGACGCCGAUACCGAUCCUCACGUUGAUGCCAAGUCUCCUGAGGCCUCCUGUGAGUUAUCACGAUACCAGAUCGGGGAGGCCUUCCUGAGUUAAUUCCCUCUUGGAUCAAGCCUUUUCCUUUGGCAUCGGCAACAGUAAUUUGAUGCUGAGGAUCUACCGAUGCACUCCUUUCGGUUGCUUCCGACGUCAAGACCUUGGUUUUUACCUUAGUAUCCAACAUAUUUGUUGGGAAAGGAUGUUGAUCGAUCUUCAUCGGCUUCUGAGCUUUGGAACUGUCAAAUUUGAUUCUUCCAGAUUCAAUAGCCGAUUGCAGCUGUUGUCUAAAAACCUUGCAUUCAUUGGUGCUGUGAGAAGUUGCAUUGUGCCACUUGUAGUAUUUCAUCUUCUUUAAUUCUUCAGCCGAUGGGAUUACAUGAUUGGGUGACAAUUUGAUCUGACCUUCCUGAAGUAAAAAGUCAAAUGCGAACUUCUCUGGCUCUUUAUGCCCAAAAGGACAAGACAUCGGCUUCUUGUUCUUCACCCACUCUGCCAAGCCGAUGACCGGCUCUUCAUCAAAAUCUGAGCUUGCUGCCUCGUCAACAAAUGACACCUUUUUGUUCCAAGCUCUCUUGGGUUCAAAGGGUUUGAUAUCCUGGUUGGAAAUCCUCUGGACCAAGUGACUCGGGCUCUCGAACUCUUGAGAAGCAUAUUUGUCCCUGAUAUGUGGCAACAAACCCUGGAAAGCCAAAUUGGCUAGCUGCCGAUCGUCCAAAAUCAGACUAUAGCAUUUGUUCUUGACUUCCCGCAACCUCUGCACAAAGCUUUCAACUGAUUCAUCAUUGCGUUGCUUCAAUCUGACCAAAUCGGUAAUCUUCUUUUCAUGGACUCCAGAAAAAAAGUACUUGUGGAACUGCUUCUCCAGAUCGGCUCAAGUAAUCACUGAGUUAGGAGGUAACGAAAUAAACCAGGUGAAAGCCGAUCCAGAUAAAGAUGAUGAAAACAAUCGAACCCUCAAUUCAUCCCUGUUAGCAGCUUCCCCACAUUGGAUGAUGAACCUGUUGACAUGCUCCAUGGUUGACGUAUCAUCCUGUCCAGAAAAUUUAGUGAAAUCUGGUACCUUGUACCGAUUUGGAAGUGGAAUCAAAUCGUAUGCACGAGGAUACGGUGUGUGAUAAGAGUAAGUGUUGACUUUGGGUUUUAUCCCAAAUUGGUCUCUCAUUACUUCAGCAAUCUUAUCGGCCCAAUAAGCAUCGGCAUCUUGCCGAUGAGGUGGUUGCGGAUCUGGCACUUGCUGAUACACUUCCACGUGUCUAUGCGGUGCACAAUCUGCAUGGAACAUUGGGUUAAUCAUUUGACCACCAAUCUGCUAACCACCAAUCUGUUGUCCAAGAUUCAUCGGCUGAUUAACCAUCCCUUGAUUAUGGAACCCAGGUUGGAUCUGGCCUUGUUGAAACCCUGUAGCCUGAUGAUUCUGUUGGGGCAUUUGUGGAAAGACUUGCUGCCCAGGCCAUCCAUUAUUAGCAUUCAUCGGCAUAGGUCCUGCCGAUGACUGGUAAUUGGGCAUCAUCAUUGAAUUGACAUACCCUGGCUGAGUCAUAAACCUCUUUUGCGUCGGCAUUGAAUCUGCCGAUGCAUUAGGCAUCUGGAAUGUUGGAGCUUGAGAAUUCCCAGUGUAAGGUCUAGCAGUAGUAGUUGUAGUAUACUGGGGACUCUGAUUCAUCGGCAUAUCUGGAGGCGCCGAUGCCAUAGGAGCCUUGCCUCUCAUAUCAGCCAUUUGAGAUGUUCCAGGUGUCUUCAACAUCAUCUCUGGGGGCAUACCAUAACCCCACCAGUUGGGAGGAACCGAUCCCGACAUUGCCGAUGCCAACAGAUCUGUGGCAAGCUUGAUUUGCUCAUCUGAAGUUGAUGGAUUGGUUGUCAUCGGCAUAGAUUGCACAUCGGUGUGUCCUAAUGUGCUUGGUGGAGCAGUAGUUUCUGUGCCCGCAGCGGCUGUUGUAGCCAAUGGAGCUGUGACAACUGGUGACCCCGGCUGAUGAUGAGAAGGACCCACAUAAUUUGGUGGCAAUUGUCCUUCUUUGAAAGUUCUAGCCACGGCGUUGAAAACCGUAUUGGACAGCACACCGGCUUGAUUGAUCAAGGCACGGUUAAUAGCACUAUCAACCAUGUCUUGAAGUUUACCAGGAUUGGCUUCAAAAGUAAUCUGCCGAGGCAUCGACAGUGCUUUCUUCUGGAUCACCUCGCCACUCCUGUUUAUGUUGAAGGAUUUCAAACAUUGCUGCUUGUAAUCCUCCAUGGCUUUUGCAAUAGCUUGCUUCUGCUCAUCUUUGAGAUUAGCUUCCGUCACGGGGAUGACAUUAUCCAAGUCGAAAUCGCUAGUCACCAUGUCGAUCUUGAUCUUGAAUCUUAUCCCAUCGAGCGUGCCAAAAGAUGUGUUGGUGCAAAAGUAAAUCUGCAAACACAAAGGGCUAAUACCCGAUUCAAACGUUAAGGCGUGCCAGCCGAUUUGACCUUACUAUCGGCAAAGGUGAUAACUCGAGUACUUUGGUCCCGACAACAGCGAUGCGCCCGGAUGUCACGGGCAAGAGGUAUUCACACGGAACUCGAGAAUACGCUGAGCUUAAGUCGACGAACUCCUAAGAACUCGUAAUGAAAAGGAAAAUAUGGCGAAGUCGUCGAAAAAGUAGAUGCUGGAAUAUGAGUAAAAACUUGUGUUUGAUUGAUUGAUAGAUAUCUCAUUACAAGGCCCUAGGGUCUACAUUUAUACCCUGCUCAAAGAGCUACAAUCAGACAUGACUAGGACUCGAAUUCCAAAUUGAACGGAAUCCGUAUACAAAACGAAUUUAAAUAUCUAUGGAAAACAUAAAACUAUCCUCCCGUGACAAACCGGGACACCACCGUAGAUCAAUCGGCAACCCUCACGUUCUCCUUCCGAGUCAUCAGCAGACUUCUCAUCAUAGACAUUGGCAAAGACUAACGCUGACCAUCGGCACGAAUGCGUCACCACUUCUGGACUUAGUCACAUUCAGCUGUCUCUUCAUCGGCAACCACCCUCAUCGGCAACUCCCCGGCAGACCAGUUACUGUUGCCCCAUCUUGCCGAUCUAUACUUUACCGAUCCCUGGGUACGUGUCCAAAAACGGUGUCAACCCAGGGGUUGCGUUCGGAGGGGGAGUUGCGUUCUACCGCUCAGAGGGUCCUACGCCACCUUGGGCAUCAGGGGCUUCUCCCUCAACCUCGAGGUUUGUUGACAGUCUUUAAUGCUCACAUUUAACCAUCAACUAAUCAUGGAAAAGGACCUAUAUGCAACCAACAUCUAAAAUUAGGGUUUCAUCUGACAGAAUUCCACGAGUUUUGGUGUUUGUCUAUUUCUGUAGGGGGUUAUCAGGAAAUAUGGAGGAAAGGUCCAAACGUCGGGUUUACAUAGAGAUAUUAACGUGCCGCGCAAUUUUUUAUCAUCUAGAAGACUCUAGAAGCCACGGGAACGAAGCGGAGGCAGAACGGGGCAUGGCCCAGGGCACCCGCCCUAAGGACCAGGGCGCCCGCCCUCCUGUAGUGCCCAAUCAGGGUCAACUUCGUGGAUCGUGCUCCACUGACCUAAGGGAUCAAGGAAAACCGUGCGAUUAAUGUCGGUUUGAUCCGACGGCCCAGAUUCACUUGAGGGGACUAUAUAAGCAGACCCCCUACCCCCUGGAGAACAUACCUCUUCUACAGAAUCAAAGCUAGGGUUUCAAUUAUUCAUCCAAGUAGAGAGGAUCCCUCUAGUUCAUCUAGUUCUAGUUCUAGUUCCUCUAGUUCUAGUUAGUUCUAGUUGUAAUCUAGAAAAUAGAGAAAGAGAAGAGGAGAGCGGAGGAGGAGCCGGAUCUGUCGGAUCUUCCUCAACAAUGUACUUUUGCAGCAACUGGUUCGUUCUUCAUCGUUCUCUAGGUUCUUCAAUUCAUAAUUACUGAGUUUUUAAUUACUUUUAUUUACAUUCAAGUUAUUUAUUAGAUUCCCGCUUGCAUCAAGUGCUCUAGUCUUUGCAAUGCUAGAGUAGUAUUUAAUAGAUUAGACGUGGUGUUUAGUCUUGUAAUUACCUGGAAUUGCAUCCAAUCCUGCGGAUUGUUGUGGUAGCCCGAGGGUAGUGACAGCCCUAACGGUCGACGUAUUCCACCUUGUUCGGAUUGGUGUUUAUAGGACCGUAGUCAGAGCUUCCUAGCCCCCUUCUCAUCUCUUUCUGUGGUUAGUGUUCUGAUGUCCCAAAAUAAAUAAUCUUUGAAGUAAUUCUUGAUUCUUAGAUCAACUAGAGAACUCUCAGGAAACUUCCUCUCUUCCCACCAAAAAUAAUUAUAUAGUUAUCCUUGGGCGAUCUUGAAUCUUAAUUAGUACACUCACAUUCCCUGUGGAAAAUCGAUACUCUGGAAUACUCCAGGGUGAAGGCUACAUCGGUAUCCGUGCGCUUGCGGAUUUUUCUGUUUGCGUUUAAAAUACCCAACAAGGUUGAAGCACUCUCAUGACGGAUUGUAGCUGCCAUCAUCAGAGUCAGAGUAGCUGAGGCAAUAGUUGCUUGCCUCAAGGAAGCGCAUGAAAGUCUCCAGGACGCCAAAACCUGACAAGUUAGCGCCGGCCCAUUCGUCCUCUCCCAAGGUGGGAUCCUUGGGGUACGACGAAAUGGGUGGUGUGGCGAUAAGGUCCAGCGUAGACCUUAAGUGGUGCCCCAAAAGGUCCACGUAUGCACAUAGUGAAGUGCUUGCGGAAGAGGCAUAGGUGGCAGCUGCGCUCCUGAGCCCGAAAGGGAGCUCGAAAGACGCAACUGCGGGCUCUCCUGUCGUAGCUUUGGGCGAUGUGGGAGGGUGCUGAGAAGUCGAAGCCCCUAGGUCCCCAUUUUGAGGAGGAGGUGGUUGCCGCCCUUUGCCUUUUGACUGUGGCGGAACAGGGGGUCGUGAUGUCCCCCUGUUGGUCCGUGGAGCAGAGCUUGAUGCUCCAUGGGCCCUACCCCUGGUGCCACGUGGGCCAGAGGAAUGGGGAUCCGAUGAGGAAUGUGCGGGGGGAGUGCCAGAUGAGUCCUGGCUUCGGCAACAGGGGCAGAGAUCCUGGACCUCUGACGCCCACGCCAGGCUCCCCCUUCAUGGUGUCCCGAGCGCCUCCCACGCACUGGCUAUGGUGGGAUUGGCUCGGGACGAGGAUCGGUGUCGUCAUGAGGUGGGAGAAGGACCAUGUCAUAGUCGGAGCCGAGAGACAUGAACUCCAAACUCCCAAACAUCAUGAUGGUGCCGAGGUGAAGUGGGUGAAAUCCGUCUAGCAUCCGGGCUUUCCCUUAUAGGGAAAGGAGAGUGUCACGCAGAAGGCCCCUACCUGGCGCGCCAACUGUCAGUGUCUAUACUCAGGGUCCAAGCACUAACAAGUAAUAAGUCUGCAUGUCCUCCUAAACCCGAAUGGUGAUGCAAGGGAACACAGGGGAUUUAUACUGGUUCGGGCUUCGAAUGCCCUACGUCUAAUGAGGGGAUCAAAGUCUCUAUUGCCUUGCACCUGAGAGUGCUUGUAGUAGGGGUGUACAAGCUGGUUGCAAGAGAUGACUAAGUCCCAAGUCUCGACUUUAGGGAGUAAAUGGAGGGGAGUGCACUACUUGGGUGAAGAGUGUUGUUUGUGAUCUAUGUGUGUUGCGUUGUCUUUGAUAGGUGCCCUGCCUCCCCUUUUAUAGCCACAAGGGGUGAUAGGGUUUUUACUUGUGUAAGGUUGUGAAUUAUCUUUGGUGAGUGUGGUAGUGACAGUGCAGGUCCUGUGGAGAUCGGCCACUUCGUCCUUUGGGUAUGGCUUGACGGCGUGGUCACUCCAGUGGAGGGUCACCGAGCCCUGUUGAAGUUGUGGUGGUCGGGUCGGUGACACUGCAGUGUGUCCUACAAUAGUAAGGUAAUGACAGUCUAGAUGUGGUCACAGUGGCAGGGGUUAACCCUCCCCAUACAUCCUUUUACUAUAAGGCAAUGCCCCACAGUGAAAGAGGUAAGGUUCCACAGUGACUGGAGUUGUUGAAAUAGUAGCUGGCAUGCCCUGCUGCAGCAUGGGAGGCAUGGUGCGCGUCACAUCGGAGGUACGACCAUCGUGUGGUGAAAGCCUGACUCUAAGGCCGAGGCUCGGGCGAAGCGUAGAUUGCGCUCGAUGUUGAGGUUUUGGUAAAGGCGAAGAUCUCAUCCGAGACUCAGAGCUUGGGCGAGACAGAUCUUGCGUCCGAGGCCAGGGGGUCGGGCGAGAUGGAGCUUGCAUCCGAGCCCAGGGGGGUCGGGCGAGACGGAGCUUGCGCUCGGGCCUAGGAGGUCGGGCAUGACGGAGCUUGCGCUCAAGCCUGAAGGGGUUGGGCACUCGUCCUACUUCUUUUUGCCGCUUUUUAUCCCCUUAAUAUGGGUAUCCCCUUUUACGGUACCCAACAAAUUAAAAUCAAAUUAUUAGGUGUUACAAAUUCUACCCCCCUUAAAAGAAUCUCAUCCUCGAGAUUGAGCAUGCUUACUCAAACAACUAUGGAUAUGAUUUUCUCAGAUCAUCUUCUCUUUCCCAAGUUGCCUCUACUUCCGAAUGCCGAUUCCAUUGCACUUUGCACAUCUUAAUAAUCCGACUUCUAGUGACUCUCUCAAUGGUCUCCAAUAUUUUAACCGAGUAUUAUUCAUAAGUGAGAUCACCUUUAAUAGAAAGCUCUUCUAAUGGUAUUUGCUCCUUAGGUAUGUUGACACUUGCUAACACCACUUGUAUACUAAGUUGUCAUCCCCAGCAUGGCACUAGAGUGUACUAUGGUAUUUAUACGCACACAGAUAAUCCGCAAGCGCACAGAUACCGUUGAAGCUUUUACUCGGUUAAAGGUUUUAUCGUAUCCACAGGGAAACGAGAGAACUAAUCUACGCUCUAACUUAACCAAGAUAAGUAAAUAAGUGUAAAUAGGAAAGAUGGUAGAAUCGAAUAAGAGCAAUAUUAAAGGUAAGAUAACAGUGAGUGAUAAUAUGGGAAUAGAGAAUAGAGCAAUUCUAGUAUAUGGGCGAUGGUAGCAGAAUAGAGAGAAUAACUAUGGUUUCUCUACUUCAAAGGGGUAUGUCUAUGUCUGGGACGAACCACGUGAUAAGAGUACACCACAAAGGAUGCUUAUCCUUAGGCCGAUAAACCCUACCCGUCCUGCUAACGAGAGGUGGACUACAGAAGACCAACGUAACUGUCACCUACGCGGCCUACCAUACGAUCCAGCUAGACAGGGGAUAUCCACAAGUAAUCUAGGUCUAAGCACCACGCUUACACCUAUACUACAACUCUAACCUAUAGCGUCCUAUAGAUUAAAUUACUCAAAAGAGUUGUGAACCAGAACAUACAUAAUUAGUAAUUGCAUAAUGAAUUAGAAGUAGAUUACCAGAGUCAUCCCAUGAGCAAGCUUGAUUAGAGCUUGAUCAUGACGAAGUACAACCGGAGGAAGAACCGACAGGCCGGCCUCUCCUCUAAUCCUCCUUCGCUCUCCAUCUUGCUACUAUCUAGAUCUACUCUAGUUUAGAGAAGAGAAGAGAGCUCUCAUCUCUAAACCCUAGCUUUUGCUCUGUCUAUGAAUAAUGAAUAAUGAUCAAGGGGUGCCUCCUCCAGGGGCCAGGGGGUCUGGUUUUAUAGUCCCCUCAAGUGAACCUGGGCCGUCAGAUCAAACCGACAUAGAUUGAAUGGUUAUCCUUGAUCCUUUAGGUCGGUGGAGAUCUCUCGAGAAACAGAGUCCUGAUUGGACUCCAAGUCAGGGCGGGCGCCCAGGGCAGGAGGGCGGGCGCCCUACCUCUGGCCCCGUUCGGCCUCCGCUUUCUUCCCGUGGCUUCUGGAGUCUUCUAGAUGUAAGAUAAUUGCGCGGCAUGUUAAUAUGUCUAUGUAAUCCCGACGUGUGGGCCUUUCUUCCGUAUUUCCUGAUAACCCCCUGCAGAAAUAGACAAACACCAAAACUCGUGGAAUUCUGUCAGAUAAAACCCAAAGUCUAGAUGUUGAUUUCAUUUGGAUCCUUUUCUUUGUUUAUUUGAUAAUUAAAUUUGAUACUUAAGGACCGUCAACAAACUCCCCCAAGCUUACCUCUUGCUCGUCCCUAAGCAAGGAUAGACUCAGCAAUGGAUCAUAAGUUGUUGCAAUAUCUUAAAAAUUUGACGGUACACAUGCUUUUAAAUAAGAUCUCAUCUCUGAGUUAGAGUAAACUGUCAAGAACUAAAACUUACUUACUUUACCUUUCACCAUGGGACUUGUAACCGUCACUUCUGUCUUGAGUAGUUAAAAGAUAGAACAGUCUAGCCAAGUGUCAUGUCUCUUAUUCUUAAUCAGCUAUAGCUCUGGAGUUUUUGUAGAUUUUCAAAUAAAACUCAGAGAUUCCUUGUAUGACUCUCUAAAUCUCUCUUUUGUGGUAUUUCUGGAUCCUUACCAAGGCAGUGAUGGUAUAUGCCUUCUCUCAAGAUAUGUGGUAUUUGUGGUAUAAGGCAUAGUGACAUUGCCUUCUCUCUCACCCUACUCUAAUAAGGCUUUAAUAUCUGGAGUUCAUAGGUGGGAGAUAAAGUAUACAUACUUACAAGACAUUUAUUGUAUAGUCAAACCAUGGAUCUAAAGAAACAAAUCAAUAAGCCAAAUCAAGAUGUGCAUGUGUGGCGAAUGAAUGGUGUAUGGUGAUGAUGGUGAUAACAAUGGUGAAAGUCUAAUUCUACUUUUGCUCUUUUGAGGGGAUACAUACCUUCCUUGCUUUUUGAAACUUUAUGAGGAGAAUGAGAUGCUCUAUCUUUCAUUUUUCUUUCCUCUCAGGUGGGUAUCCUAUACCCCUAAUUCUACUGUCAGACACUUGUCCAUUUUUACCUCUCGUCUCACUCUUUUUUCUUUUCUUUCGAGGUUCCGGGCACUUGCCCCUUUUUAUUUCCUCAUUUAUUUAUUUUUUUUCUUUUCUUCUCUUUUCUUUUUUUUCAGAACACUCAUCUCUUGAGAUAAUAUAGCAAGUGGUAGUAGCAAGAUAACUUGAGCAUUUAUUUCACAAGAGAAAACAGAAAUAUUUUUAGCUAUUCUCUCCCGGAUUAGGAGUAGAAUAUUUUUGGGUGGUUCUGGAGAUGGACAUGGAUGGAUAUAUGUGGAUGGUACUUCUGGAGUAGAAGUAGCAUAUAUGAGUGAACGUGCAAGUGAAUCUUGAUUUAACCACAUGACAAGCUCCUAAGGGUCUACACAGCUUGACCACACUUAAUGCUCAUAAGCAGUAAAUAGUAAAUGUGUGGCUCAAAGUCUAGCAAGCAUGUAUAUAUGGCUGUGGUAGGAAUUUAAACUCUCAUCAUGCAGGAACUCGUCAUGCAAUAUUUUAAAGAUUUUUCAAAGAUAAAAUUCUCUAGAAUUCUAGCAUCUCUAGGAACAGAUAAACAGCAGCUCAACCUUCCCAUAUCAUAUCCGUUAACAACUUAGAUUUCAGAUCAAGUUUUCAUCCCACAAGUUUAGAUCUAGAGCAAGCUUUAAAUUAUAACAGUUAUGUCUAAACUUGAGAGAGAACUUCAAAUUUGCAAAUUAGGCAGAGCAACUAUUCAUCAUAUCCAUGCUAGAGUUUUAUUAUUAAGAUUCAGAUUAGCAUAGCCACUUUAUUUAUUUAUUAAACACACUAAGCAAAAGAUAUAUAUAAGUACAAAAUCUUUAUUUGGUUUUUCAUAGUUUAUGUAUUUUAAUAUUCUAAUAUAAUAUAAGUAUAAAGAUAGAUAGAAAUACUUAGCGAGAUAAAUGGGGGUGCUCUCCCCCAAGCUGAAUUUUUGACGUAAUUUCUCUUGAUGUAGCUAGCAGGUGGCAGAGGUGUAUUUGAAAGUCAGCAGCAUUCUGACAGCGAUUAGAAUGUCCUCCGUCUGCUAGUCUUCUUGAUUCUUAAAUUCUGUGGAGCUCAAAUAGACAACAAAGCUUGUGGAACUAAUUAAGUGUUAGCAUAAAUAUCUAGCCUUCAUCAUGUUGAGCUUCCUCAAUAAAUAUUACUCCUUAUUUUUAUAUUUUUAUUUUAUAAAGUAGAAAAGAAAUAUUUAUUUUAUUUUUAUGCCACCACAGUGAAGGUAUUUAUGGAUUUUAUGCCACUCGUAUACUCAUAUGGGGCUUAGUAUUUUUUAACAUUUUUAUUUUCUUUUCAAGAUAGCAUGAUUUAACUAAUAAUCUAUUUAAGGAAAGUAAAUAAUUAAAGGGAAAAGGGAAUGCAGAAAGGAUAAAUAUGGAUAACUACCGAUCUUACCUUUCGGCGAGGGUUCAAUGUUUUAAGUCUUCUUAACAAGACUUCUCACAGUGUUCAUUCUUCAGGUGCGUCAUUUGAUUCAGGUGCGGACCUUGACGUCUGCACUUCUUUGUUUGCCCAGCAGUUCGAAGUGCGGCGUUUGCAGUAUCCUGCUCACUGUGUUUGUGCUCGUAGAUCCAGGUCCUUCACUUGGUAGAGUCUGAGAGUUAUAAAACUCCUCCGUGUUUUGCUCGAAGUGUACCUGCUCAUAGAGACAAGGCAGAGAUCAAGUGUAUGGGUCCUGUUGGUGGAAAACACCAACAGAACCUAAAGUGUAUUUGUUCUUCUCUAACCCUAAGCAUAGUGAGCAAGACAAAGUUGAUGGAUGAAAAGUUCAUGAGUGUAGCACUUAUAACAUUUGUCAGAUCAGAUCGCUCAACCUUAUGGAAGAUAAUCUAUCUAUGUAUAUGUCUCUUUUUUUAUAUCUCUCAAUGAUUGAAUGUGUAACAUUUUAGCUCAUAUGAUUAGGAGUGUGGGAUCAUGGAGGUAGUACUAAGAACAAGGAUUAAAGGACUAAACAUGUUGAAUCAGUUGGGUUGGUUAAUCUAGAGUUGUAAAUCAUACAUGUUUGUCUCUUUUAUUUAUAUGAACGCCAGAACCAAGGAGAAGCUUAUAAAAGUGAUAGUCAAGUACCUUAAGAUGUUACCUUGCUUGAAGAGUGAUGGUACAGUAUCACCUUGUGGAAGCUUUCCUUUCUUAGCGGUUGUGCAUCGUGUUUGUGGCACCCUUCAUGGAUCAUCUCUCCAUGAUGAAUGAGCUAUGUCCUUCUUGUGCAAAUUGUUAAACUUCAUGUGUCACUCUCUUCGUCUCUGAUGUGAGUUUAUCUCAGGACUUCCCAAAUCGAUAUUGAAAGUUUUUCUGCAGGGGUUAGUCCGACAAAAAUAUACCAAUGUCUACACAAGCAAUUUUUAAUUCAAUAACCGAACUAGACUCCAUGUCUAAUCAGAUUAAGGAAGGCUGUUUAACCUAAGCACCAUGCUUAAUUUAAAAGCCAAUAGAAGUAUGUGCAGUACUUCCAAACUAACACUUACUAGUAAAUAGACAAAGGUAACAUGACAGCAUUUAUAGAGAUCUACUCAAGUGGAGAUGAGGUAGUGUGAUUAGUAUUUAACAAAUUGAGCAUGUCUCAAAGGUAGGGACAACCAGCAUAGCAACAUGGCAAAGGAUGUUUUUAUGUAAAGUACUCCCCCAAGCUUGAAUUUUGCAAAAUUCAAGUUUGGAUGAAUUUAAUUCAGUGUUGCAUAAUGAUUGGUUGGACAUACCUUGUGCUUGUCAUUCAUCCGAUCUUCUUGCUCCAAUCCUGGAAAGGUUAGUGACAAGAAUAUCCGAAGGAAUAUUUUUACAAUUAUUCUUAUAUGCUCAAUACACAAGGUAAUGUUGCAAAUAAUUAAAAACUCAUGUUAUGAUCUGAUCAGUGCUUAUUUUAGGACACUAAGCUUGUCCUUGGGAAACCAUCAAUUUAUGUCGGCAAAGUGGUUUCCCUUCCAACGCUGACCUAAAUCAAGAUCAACUCAACGAGAUCUGCAAUAUUUAUUAUAGACAUAUGCAUCGACAACCACCCUUUUAAAGUUUUUAUAAAUAGAAAGGAAGAGGGGGUUGGAGAUCUCAAAUGUGGUGAUGUUGGAGAGACCAAUAGAUUGGGAAGAUGUUGCAUAUGAGCAUGGAGUAAACAAAGUGGCUAUGAAAUAAAUUCCAUGCUCAUUAAUGUUAUCUUCGUCUCCAAUCUGAAUGUUCAGAGUUUCUCUUGGAUUGGUCUCACUUAUGUCCUCUUCUAUAGUUGGAUGAAUCCCAUCUUCAAAGGGAGUCAAGAACUCACCAUUUGAAAUUGAACCAAAGUCAGAAUUCAUUAAGGCUUCUUCCUUAUCCAUCCAUUCUACACAUUCUAGCCAUUUAGAACUUGUGAUCAGGAAAGGGGAGCUGAUAGAAUUUUCAAUAUGGCUUAGCUCUUCACUUGAUAUGUCAUCCUUGACUUCUUCAUAACAGGAACCAGGACAUUCUCUAAUAGAACCAUUAUUGCAAGGAUUUGAAUUAUCCCUGCUUAAAGGUCUCUUAUGAAACCAAAAGUCUAAACCAUCACUAUCUGAAAAAUUUAAGGUCGGAAUUCCUUCCUCCCUUGGAGAAUUUUGGGGCGUUGAUGGUUUAGGAUUGAUAGCUAAAGUUUGGAAUUGAAGUGGUUGUGAUCUGGCUAUCGAAACUUCUUCUUCUUCUCUAGGAACUGGUUCUGUCUCUUUCACGGGGAUAUAAAAGCUAGGAGACUUUCCACUUAAUAAAUCAAUCAAAUUCCAAGCUUCACUAGUAGGUAGGUGAUAGAAGGAUCCUCUAGAGGCUGCAUUCAAGGUUUGCUUAUUUUCCCCACAAAGGCCCUCAAAAAAGUGAAUUAGAAAAACUUCUUCUGGAAUAGAAAGCUUUGGGCCAGUGAGAGUAAGGUUAAUAAAGCGGUCCCAUGAUUUGCCAAGAGAUUCUUCUUCCAGUUGUCUAAAAGAAAUAAUCUCACGCCGAAGUUCUGCCACUUUGGAGAUUGGAAAAUAUUUAGAAAGAAAACUACUAUAUAACUCCUUCCAAUCUCCAUGAUCACUCCCUAUUUUGAGUUUGUACCAAUGUCUAGCUUUUCCGUUAAAGAGAACGGAAAGAGCUUCCAUUUAAGGAUCUCAUCGGACAUUCCUUCUAUGCGAAGGAGGUCACAGACUCGAUAAAACUCUCUUAGGUGUGUGUAUGGGUUUUCCUCACCUUCUCCUGAGAAAGGUUGUUUUUGAACAAAUUCUAUGUAUUCGGGGUCUAUCUCAAAACUAGAUGCUAUGAUAGGCUUUGAAGAUUUUGGUGGUUCGAGAUGUGUGCCCGUAGGUCUAUGAAAUUCAUACAUAGACAUGUUUGAAUUCAUGAUAGACCAGAGAUCAAGUAUUAGAUAAGAAGAAAGAAUAGCAGAGAUGAGGCAAAGGAUAAAAGGAAAUUUUUUUUUAUUUUUUUUAGAAAAUGAUUAAGCUAGUUCGUAGUCAACUCAGCAACCGUUUCCCCGGCAACGGCGCCAAAAAUGCUUGUUGACACUUGCUAACACCACUUGAAUAAUAGGUUGUCAUCCCCAGCAUGGCACUAGAGUGUACUAUGGUAUUUAUACGCACACAGAUAAUCCGCAAGCGCACGGAUACCGUUGAAGCUUUUACCCGGUUAAAGGUUUUAUCGUAUCCACAGGGAAACGAGAGAACUAAUCUACGCUCUAACUUAACCAAGAUAAGUAAAUAAGUGUAAAUAGGAAAGAUGGUAGAAUCGAAUAAGAACAAUAUUAAAGGUAAGAUAACAGUGAGUGAUAAUAUGGGAAUAGAGAAUAGAGCAAUUCUAGUAUAUGGGCAAUGGUAGCAGAAUAGAGAGAAUAACUAUGGUUUCUCUACUUCAAAGGGGUAUGUCUAUGUCUGGGACGAACCACGUGAUAAGAGUACACCACAAAGGAUGCUUAUCCUUAGGCCGAUAAACCCUACCCGUCCUGCUAACGAGUGGUGGACUACAGAGGACCAACAUAACUGUCACCUACGCGGCCUACCACACGAUCUAGCUAGACAGGGGAUCUCCACAAGUAAUCUAGGUCUAAGCACCACGCUUACACCUAUACUACAACUCUAACCUAUAGCGUCCUAUAGAUUAAAGUACUCAAAAGAGUUGUGAACCAGAACAUACAUAAUUAGUAAUUGCAUAAUGAAUUAGAAGUAGAUUACCAGAGUCAUCCCAUGAGCAAGCUUGAUUAGAGCUUGAUCAUGACGAAGUACAACCGGAGGAAGAACCGAUAGGCCGGCCUCUCCUCUAAUCCUCCUUCGCUCUCCAUCUUGCUACUAUCUAGAUCUACUCUAGUUUAGAGAAGAGAGGAGAGCUCUCAUCUCUAAACCCUAGCUUUUGCUCCGUCUAUGAAUAAUGAAUAAUGAUCAAGGGGUGCCUCCUCCAGGGGCCAGGGGGUCUGGUUUUAUAAUCCCCUCAAGUGAACCUGGGCCGUCAGAUCAAACCGACAUAGAUUGAAUGGUUAUCCUUGAUCCUUUAGGUCGGUGGAGAUCUCUCGAGAAACAAAGUCCUGAUUGGACUCCAAGUCAGGGCAGGCGCCCAGGGCAGGAGGGCGGGCGCCCUGCCUCUGGCCCCGUUCGGCCUCCGCUUUCUUCCCGUGGCUUCUGGAGUCUUCUAGAUGUAAGAUAAUUGCACGGCACGUUAAUAUCUCUAUGUAAUCCCGACGUGUGGGCCUUUCUUCCGUAUUUCCUGAUAACCCCCUGCAGAAAUAGACAAACACCAAAACUCGUGGAAUUCUGUCAGAUAAAACCCUAAGUCUAGAUGUUGAUUUCAUUUGGAUCCUUUUCUUUGUUUAUUUGAUAAUUAAAUUUGAUACUUAAGGACCGUCAACAAGGUACACGCAAACACUUCUUAAGUUGUGACACAUGGAACACAUCAUGCACACCAGAUAAACUUUCAGGCAAUUCUAACUGAUAUGCUACUUCCCCACGCCUUUGCAAAACUUUAAACCUUGGAGCUAGCUUUCCUUUCAUAUUAAACCUCUUCACACUCCUCAUUGGUGAUAUUUCCAGAUAGAUAUAAUCACCUUCUUCAAAAACCAGUUCUCUCCUACGUGUAUCUGCUUAACUUUUCUGACGAGACUGAGCAACUCUCAGAUUAUCUGGAACAGUCCACACCUGUUGUACAUCUGUACCAACAGGUGUUCUGCAUGUCUAAGCACAUCUAUACCAAACACCUGAGUCUCUGCUGUCUGAUUCCAAAACAAAGGUGUCAUGUACUUACGACCAUACAAUGCCUCAAAUGGUGCCAUCUUAAGACUCUGCUGAUAACUGUUGUUGUAGGAGAAUUCUGUAUAUGGCAAACUCUUGUACCAGCUAGCUCCAUACUACAAAGCACAAGCUCUCAACAUAUCCUCUAGUAUCUGAUUGAUCCUCUCAGUCUGUCCAUCUGUCUGUGGAUGAUAUGCUGUACUAAAAUUCAACUUUGUUCCCAAAGAAUCAUGGACUGCUUUCCAAAAGUGAGAGGUGAACUGAGUACCCCUAUCUGACACAAUCUUCUUAGGUACCCCAUGCAAAGAAAUGAUUCUUUCCAUGAAUAACUCUGCCAGUCGGUCUCCACUAUAUGUAGUUGUUGAUAUUUGGGAACGCAAUAAGGAAUUGAUCCGCAAGCGCACGGAUAUCGGUGAGCACUUCACCCGGGAAAUUAUCCAGAGUAUCGUAUUUAUUUUUUUACCACUAGGAGAAAGAGUGCAUCUGACUAACCGGUCUAUUACUACUAACCUUUAGGCACAAAGAAUGUCUUUCGAUGUGAGUGAUAAAUAGAAAAGACUGCAACCGUAGUCUCCUUCUAACCUUGGUAAGGAUGAUCUACUGUUCUAAUGGGGAGGCUAACGGAAUCUAGACACCACAAAGGAUGUUCAACCCGCACCUAUAAACCCUAUCCUUCCUGCUAACGAGAUGUGAUCUACAAAGGUAACUCGGAAUUGUCACGUUCCUCACUACUACCACGGUCCAGCUAGUCAGGGAAUAUCUAUGAGUACCCCAGCCUAAACACCACGUUUACGCCAGCAAUGAUUACUCUAAACUCUACGCGAAGAGAAUUAAAGUAAACUCAUAAACCAUAAGAACAAUAAAACAAGAACUUACUAGAAUUUAGAAGUCGAAAUACUGAAGAAUCCUAGGAGCAAGCUUCGGGUUAGGAGAACUUGAUCCCGCAGGUACAAGCUUGGAGUAGACACCGACAGGCCGGGCUUCCUCCAAUCUACACCUCCACUCUAUCUCUCUCAAUCUAGUAGAAACUAGAAGAUCUAUUUCUACCUUACAUUGGUUGCUAAGCCUAAAAAGAAAUAUUAAUUAGAGAAGAGGUUUUCCUUCAAGGGCACCCCUCAGUCUCUAUGAUAAUUUCUUCAUGUCUUCUCCACGGGCCAGGGGGUCUCCUUAUAUAGUCCUCCCCUUCUAUGCGUUUUUGGGUCGAUAGGCGAGGUGGUACUAUGUUUUUCUUGACCCAAUAGGUCAGUGGAACAUCCCGUGCGAAGAGAGUCCCGAGAGCAAUCCAACAGGGGGCGGGCGCCCAGGUCACCAGGGCAGGCGCCCUGGGCCUGGCCCCUUUCGGCCUCCGUCUUCUUCCCGUGGCUUCUGGAAUCUUCUAGAUGGUGGAAAAUCGUGCGGUGCGUUGAGAUCUCUAUGUAAUCCCGAGAUGUGGGUCUUUCUUCCUUAUUUCCUGAUAACCCCCUGCAGAAACAGAUAAACAACAAAACUCGUGGAAUUCUGUCAGAUCAAAUCCUAAUUCUAGGUGUUGGUUGCAUAUUGGUCCAUUCUCUUGUUUAUUUGAUAAUUAAAAUUGAUACUUAAGAACCGUCAACAAAUACCCCCAUACUUAGGCUUUUACUCGUCCUCGAGAAAAGGAUGGUUAAGAAAAAUAUCUGGGGUAAACAUUUUAAAGCAUUCUCUAUAUAAUUGCAGGGUGUUACAAAUCCACUGUGUACCAUAGUCAGGGAAGUUUAUGAUCAAGAGUAAAGAUCCUUUCUUCUCAAUCCUGUCACUUGGAGUUUUUGUAUAUUUUUGAAAGAAAGUUAGCAUACCUUUUUAUCCUCAUAGGUUCUUCUCAGAUCACUCAUUAUCUUUUAUAUAUAUCUCACUGAGGCUGUUUUAUUUUGCAAAAAUUCUCAAGCAUUCUUACUUUGCAUUUAUUUCCUGAUCAAAACGGGAUCCGAGGAGGGGAAUGUCAUACUCUUAGAUCAAAGACUUUGGAAAUUAAAAUCUUUGUCAACUCUUGCUGGCAUAUUGCUUAUUAGAGGGACCAUGGGCUAUCAUUUUUUUCUCUUUUUUUUAAGUGGAUACCGAGGUACCCCUAGUUCUACUGCCGGACACUUGUCCAUUUUUUCUGCGAGGUUGUCGAGCACUUGCUCCUUUUUAUUUCCUCGAAAUAUUUCUAUUUUUGCAUAGCCCAUGCCUCUAAUGCAAUAAUACUUCGGAAGAGUGAAUCUUACUGAAAUAAUGUCUUGAUCUUGGGAGCAUGAUAAAUCUCUCAACAAGGGUCUAACUCAUUUUGAACAAACUCAAUACAGAGCAGAUAGCUUUUAUAAUCAUAAUUAAUAUUUUCAGUUUUAUCAGGCAUAUAAAACUGAGGAUGGUAGCUAGAAUUUUGAAUAUUCUGAAAUAAAUUCUCCAAGCAACAAUGAUAUCAAGAAUAAGAAACUCAUACUCUACCAUCACAUAUUCCAUAUUGACUUAAGUAACACAGGGUUUUAAAAUGAUUUUAUAAUAAUUGCAAGUUUUCAGGAAAUAUCAUAGAUUGAGAUUAAUCAUGAUUAGAAAUAUUUUAAUCUUUUUAUUUUAUCAUGUCGGGGACAAUAUUCUGCAUAAUCCAAAAUAAAUGUAUGUGUAAAGUGUGCAGAGUGUGUACCUGAAUCGUGGAGUGGUGUAGUUGGAGUGUGUUUGGCAUGUCGAGGGAUCUCCCCCAUACUUGUUUUCUGCUUUCUUGCACAAAAAUAAAGUAGAGACACACAAGACAUAAUAAUAAUAAUAAUAAUAAUAAUAAUAAUAAUAAUAAUAAUAAUAAUAAUAAUAAUAAUAAUAAUAAUAAUAAUAAUAAUAAUAAUAAUAAUAAUAAUAAUAAUAAUAAUAAUAAUAAUAAUAAUAAUAAUAAUAAUAAUAAUAAUAAUAAUAAUAAUAAUAAUAAUAAUAAUAAUAAUAAUACUCUUUAUUGAUCUUGAGGCAUUUAUUACAAAAGAUUGAUAGCAAACUGAUAGCAAACUGAUAAUAGCAAACUUAAACCGAAUUUAAAGAUAGAUGACUAAGAUGCAUUGCCUCAAGGUCUAAUCUAGAUAACUUAGCGGCGCUCUAAUUCCUUGAUCUUCUUGUUGGCACUGGCAAGAUCCUGCCUAAGGCCUAGUAUAAUGGUGUUAUGGUUAGAGAGCUUCCUAGUGAGGGAAUUAAUCGAGGACUGGAGGUCUAUGAUAACUCUAUCUAGCCAGCGAACUUCCUCAUCAAUAUCCAUUAUAGUCUUGCGACGCUUGGGAGGUGUCUCAAAAGCAUUGAGAGAGUGCUUCGGGGCUGCCUUUGGAGGGAUGAAACGGACUUCGGAUGCUCUAAUCCCUUCAAAGUAAGGCCUUUCCUCCUCUGUAGUGUAGCGAAUACUGCUGAUCUCGCCGCUCUGGUUGGUCUUGACUCCAACGACCCUCUCAUUGGGUCUAGGUGGAAGGAUCCUUAUGCUGAUUGGCACCUUGAUAGUGGUCUUCAUCUUGGAUGAUGAUCCUUUGAGGAGUAGGGGUUGUGGCAGUGCGGUGAGAACUGGUUGAGCAUGGUAAGAUUGGGCGGAGCUGCGUUGGCGUAAUGGCAUGGCUUCUAGCUGACGCUCUGUGUUGGCCGGGACGAGAGCACGGGCAUCGGGGUCCUCCACAGGCUCCAUGUUGAGGUUGAAGGGGACGACUUCCCAAUCAUCAUGGUACUUCUCGGCCAUUGGAACAGCAAGGAACUAAUCAAACUUUAAUUGAAGGAGAGCUAAUCAAGCUCUAAUUGAAGGAGAGAAAGCUUGGUGGCUUAGUGUUUGAAAACUGAGGUCAGGGGUCUGUUUAUAUAGGGGUCAAAAGGGUGCCUCUAUGGGUUGUUCGGGUUGCUCCCGUCGACGUGCGUGCGAAACUUUCCAUCCGAGGGAUUAUUCGGAUCACCCUAAGUGCAUUUUCCAUAACAGAGAAAGUCGGGACCGAGGGGGAACAGGGGCUGGGCGCCCGCCCACUUGAUCUGGGCGCCCGCCCUCUCUCUGGCCCCUCUGUGGGCCCACUUCUCCGAGCGCAUUUCUAGAUGCGGAAUUAUUUAGAAAAAUAUAUAUAUGACCCAAAAUCAUCAGACCAAAAGUGUCGGGCUCUAAUUCUCCAUGGGAAGGUAAAAAUGGACUACGUCUAUUUCUUCAAAUUCCUCAUUGGGCUCUAAAAAAUAAUUUAAGACGUUGACCAUUUACCUUGAAUAACGUACCUUCGCUAUUUUGAAGUGUGAUAGCUCCGUGGGAUGAUGAAUUGAUUACCUUGAAUGGUCCUUCCCAUUUGCUCCGGAGUUUUCCAUGCCCGAAAAGCUUCACCCUGGAAUUAAAAAGUAAUACCUUAUCUCCGGGUGUGAACUCCUUCUUCUUGAUUCUCUUGUCAUGCCACCUCUUGACUCUUUCUUUGUAGAUCUUUGAGUUGUGAUAUGCCUUCUCUCGCCAUUCUUCCAAUUCUGAUAGUUGCAUUCUUCUAUAAUCUCCAGCAACAUCCAGGUCCAUAUUCCAUCUCUUUAUGGCCCAGUGUGCUUUGAACUCUAGUUCAACGGGUAGAUGGCAAGUCUUCCCGUACACCAAUUGGUAUGGAGACAUUCCAAUUGGGGUCUUGUAUGCUGUCCGGUAUGCCCAUAGUGCAUCGGGUAACUUGUCUUUCCACGCCGUUCCCAUUUCAUUUACUGUCUUCUGAAGAAUAUUCUUGAUUUGUUUGUUGGAAGUCUCUGCUUGGCCACUUGUCUGAGGAUGAUAAGGGGUAGCGAUGUUGUGACGGAUUCCAUGUCUUGAUAGAUAUUGCUUGAAACGUUUGUCGAUGAAGUGUGCUCCUCCAUCACUUAUUACUACUCUGGGGACUCCAAAUCUUGGAAAUAUAAUUUCUUCAAACAUCCUCUUUGAACUGACGUUGUCGGCAUGCUUGCAAGGUAAUGCUUCUACCCACUUGGAGACAUAGUCAACUGCCACCAAGAUGUACUCGCACUUCUUUGAUGGAGGAAAUGGACCCAUAUAGUCUAUUCCCCAGACAUCAAAGAGCUCAAUCUGAAGGUUGUUGGUGAGUGGCAUUGCAUCCCUUGUAUUUAUGUUUUCGUGUCUUUGACAUGGCCCACAUCUUCUGAUAUAUUGCUUCGUGUCUUCAUACAUUGUAGGCCAAUAGAAUCCACACUGCCAGAUCUUUGAAUGUGUACGGAAUGCUCCAUAGUGACCUCCAUAUGGUGAUGAAUGACAUCUGUCGAUGAUCUUCCAUCCUUCCUCAGUGGUCACACAUCUCCUGAGUAAGCCAUCAGAGCAUACUCGGAAGAGGUAUGGCUCAUCCCAUAUAUGUGAACGACUUUCUUGAAUAAGCUUCUUCUUGUUUGCUCCUGGUGGUACAUACCCUGAAACCAUAAAAUUAACAAUAUCUGCAUACCAGGGGUCAGACCUGUUAAUCCCGUAGAGCAUGUCGUCCCAGAGUGAAUCAUUUAUGGGGGUUUCCUGUGGACUCUUAAAAUACAUUCUAGACAACUGAUCAGCAACAUAAUUUUCUACUCCCUUUUUAUCUUUUAUUUCUAAGUCAAAUUCUUGGAGUAAUAAGAUCCAUCUAAUCAGGCGAGGUUUAGCAUCUUUUUUAGUGAGCAAAUAUUUUAGUGCAGCAUGAUCAGUGUAAACAAUUAUUUUAGCUCCAACUAAAUAAGAUCUAAAUUUAUCUAUGGCAAAGACAACAGCCAGAAGCUCUUUUUCAGUGGUUGCAUAGUUAAGUUGAGCUCCUGUCAAAGUUUUACUGGCAUAAGCAAUUGCAUGAUGCUUCUUAUCUUUAGUUUGUCCUAAUACUGCCCCCACAGCAUAAUCACUAGCAUCACACAUAAUUUCAAAAGGCAACGACCAAUCAGGGGGUUGAAUGAUUGGUGCAGAGAUGAGUGCUUUCUUUAAUAAAUUGAAAGAUGUUAGACAUGCAUCAUCAAAUUCGAAAGGAGCAUCCUUGGCUAGCAAAAGAGUAAGUGGUCUGGCAAUAAAUGAAAAAUCUUUUAUGAAUCUACGAUAAAAACCAGCAUGGCCAAGAAAGCUUUGAAUUCCUUUUAUAUUCACAGGUGGAGGUAGUUGUUCAAUUACUUCAAUUUUAGCUUUGUCUACCUCAAUACCUCUUUCAGACACUAAGUGUCCUAGCACUAUUCCUUCCCUAACCAUAAAAUGACAUUUUUCCCAAUUAAGGAUUAAGUGCUUUUCUUCACAUCUUUGCAAAACCUUGUCUAAGUUUUCAAGACAACUAUCAAAAGUUUUUCCAUAAACAGAGAAAUCAUCCAUGAAAACUUCCAUAAUCUCUUCAAUCAUAUCAGAAAAUAUAGACAUCAUGCAUCUUUGAAAAGAAGCUGGUGCAUUACAUAACCCAAAAGACAUUCUACGAUAAGCAUAAGUUCCAUAUGGGCAUGUAAAAGUGGUUUUGCUUUGAUCAUCGGGAUGGAUCGGGAUUUGGUGAUAUCAUGAAUAUCCAUCUAAGAAACAGAAGAACGAAUGGUUUGCUAACCGCUCUAGCAUCUCAUCUAUAAAAGGUAAAGGAAAGUGAUCCUUUCUCGUGGCUUUGUUUAGUUUUCUAUAGUCUAUGCACAUCCGCCAUCCUGUGACAGUGCGUUGCGGAAUUAGCUCGUUCUUUUCAUUCAUAAUAACUGUCAUGCCUCCCUUUUUGGGCACAACUUGUACUGGGCUCACCCACUCACUGUGCGGCACAGGAUAUAUAAUCCCUGCAUGCAGCAACUUUAUAACUUCCUUUUUAACUACCUCUCUCAUAGUGUUGUUAAGUCUACGUUGGGGUUCUCGAGAGGGUGUAACAGAAGGAUCUGUUGGAAUACGAUGGGUACAAAUCAUAGGACUGAUUCCUGUAAGAUCUUGAAGUGAGUAGCCGAAAACUGAGUGAUGUUUCUCAAGAAUGGUCAUUAAUCGCAGAGUUUGAUCCUGAGUGAGUUUAUCGCUAAUGAUCACAGGGAACUCUAGAUUAUUGUUUAGGAAAGCAUAGGUAAGACCGGGUGGUAAAGUUUUAAGCUCUAUGGGAGGUCUAGGUGUUUCUGCAAACUCAUCUAAGGGUUCAGGCACGGAAGGUUCGUCUUCUUCUUCUGUGAAGAAAGGAGUUUCGUCUUCUAAGUCUGGUUCAUCUAAAAGCUCUAGAGAUGCAGCCUUUACUUCCUCCAUAGGAUCAGGCAAAAGAUAUGACUCGGCCUUAUUGUUUAAGGAGUGUGAAAUUAUUAUUGGGAAUUUAAAAGUUUUUCCAAAAGAAAUGUGUAGCUUUCCAGUAUGACCAUCAUAAAGGAGUCUUCUAAAAGGUUGUCCUAUCAACAGGUUGAAGUCCCAUGUAUCAAAGAUAUAGAAGUUCAAAUGAACCAUGGAGCCUUCUACCGUAAGAGGUAGGACAUUAAUAAUUCCAAGACUGGGGACUAAUCGUCCCGAAGAUUCCUUUAUGACCUUUGUUGUGGGGGUUAAGACAAGAUUUUUAAAUAGUUUAAGUGCAAAGGAUUCAGACAUAAUGUUGAUCCCCACAACAGGAUUAUAAAGAGCAUUAAAUCGAUCAGAAUUAUAAGCACAGCGUAUAGUUAUAGAGGGCGUGUCCAAACAGAUCACAUCAGAGGAAAGCUCUGAUUCCUCCAACCAUUCGCUACUCAUUACUGAGAUAAGCUCUCUCAAUUGAUAUUCACUUGGCAAAUAAAUGCUAAACUGGCCGUUUUGGGGUUUGUCAAUAGAAUGGUAGUUUGAAAUAUUUCCAAAAUCGGCAAAAAGAUCGGAUUCUAUAUCCAGCAUGAAGUCCGGUGGUGGAAUUUCUUCCUCUUGUGGCUCAGAACUUGGGAUAGCUAAAGUAGAUGAAGAAUUUGGCAGAGUGUCUACUUUGGCUUCGUAGGUUUCAUCAUGAAGGGUAUUAUCCAUCUAAGCUUAGGAUUCUAUCUAGGAUCACUCUUGCUUCCUCAGCAGGGAUGCGAAAGAAAGAACCUCUAGACAUUGUGUGAAGCAUUUGUUUGUGAUUUUUCUGAAGACCUCGAAAAAAGUGAAAUAAAAGAAUAGGGUCUUCAAGAUUAAGGUUUGGACCAGAUUCUAAAAGAUCAGAAAAAUGUUUCCAGGAUUUUCCCAAAGUUUCAUUAUCUUUUUGUUUAAAAGAUAGGACUUCGAGUCUAAGGUCGGCUAUACGGUCAAGGGAAUAGAAAUCUAGACAAAAGUUGGCUCGUAAAACUCCCCAUUCACCUUGUUGUUGACUUACCUUCUGACUGUACCAUUGUCUAGCUUCUCCCCUUAAGGAAAAAGGAAAAAGCUUCCAACGUAAAGUUUUAUCAGAAAUGCCUUCAAUGCGAAGACAAUCACAUGUUUGCUCAAAAUCUCUAAUAUGAAGGUAAGGGUUUUCGUCUUCCUUUCCCGAAAAAGAUAGGUUUUGAAUCAUGGCAAUCAACCUAGAACUUAACUUAUACUGGGAUGUUUGGAUAGGCUGUGAUGAUUCCCAUGGUAAAAGGUCAGUUGCUAAAGGGAUUGCAGACUCAUGGAUCGAUUUAGAAUUUUGGUUUUCCAUAAGGUAAGAAUAAAUAAAGAAUAUAAAAGAUAAGAAAAGAUAAAAGUAUAGAUACAAGCUAAUAGUAAGACUCAGGUUAUCUCAGCAACCGUCUUUCUCCCCGGCAACGGCGCCAGAAAUGCUUGUUGAUAUUUGGGAACGCAAUAAGGAAUUGAUCUGCAAGCGCACGGAUAUCGGUGAGCACUUCACCCGGAAAAUUAUCCAGAGUAUCGUAUUUAUUUUUUUACCACUAGGAGAAAGAGUGCAUCUGACUAACCGGUCUAUUACUACUAACCUUUAGGCACAAAGAAUGUCUUUCGAUGUGAGUGAUAAAUAGAGAAGACUGCAACCGUAGUCUCCUUCUAACCUUGGUAAGGAUGAUCUACUGUUCUAAUGGGGAGGCUAACAGAAUCUAGACACCACAAAGGAUGUUCAACCCGCACCUAUAAAACCUAUCCUUCCUGCUAACGAGAUGUGAUCUACAAAGGUAACUCGGAAUUGUCACGUUCCUCACUACUACCACGGUCCAGCUAGUCAGGGAAUAUCUAUGAGUACCCCAGCCUAAACACCACGUUUACGCCAGCAAUGAUUACUCUAAACUCUACGCGAAGAGAUUAAAGUAAACUCAUAAACCAUAAGAACAAUAAAACAAGAACUUACUAGAAUUUAGAAGUCGAAAUACUGAAGAAUCCUAGGAGCAAGCUUCGGGUUAGGAGAACUUGAUCCCGCAGGUACAAGCUUGGAGUAGACACCGACAGGCCGGGCAUCCUCCAAUCUACACCUCCACUCUAUCUCUCUCAAUCUAGUAGAAACUAGAAGAUCUAUUUCUACCUUACAUUGGUUGCUAAGCCUAAAAAGAAAUAUUAAUUAGAGAAGAGGUUUUCCUUCAAGGGCACCCCUCAGUCUCUAUGACAAUUUCUUCAUGUCUUCUCCAGGGGCCAGGGGGGUCUCCUUAUAUAGUCCUCCCCUUCUAUGCGUUUUUGGGUCGAUAGGCGAGGUGGUACUAUGUUUUUCUUGAUCCAAUAGGUCGGUGGAACAUCCCGUGCGAAGAGAGUCCCGAGAGCAAUCCAACAGGGGGCGGGCGCCCAAGUCACCAGGGCGGGCGCCCUGGGCCUGGCCCCUUUCGGCCUCCGUCUUCUUCCCGUGGCUUCUAGAAUCUUCUAGAUGGUGGAAAAUCGUGCGGUGCGUUGAUAUCUCUAUGUAAUCCCGACAUGUGGGCCUUUCUUCCUUAUUUCCUGAUAACCCCCUGCAGAAACAGAUAAACAACAAAACUCGUGGAAUUCUGUCAGAUCAAACCCUAAUUCUAGGUGUUGGUUGCAUAUUGGUCCCUUCUCUUGUUUAUUUGAUAAUUAAAAUUGAUACUUAAGAACCGUCAACAGUAGUUUUGACAGGUAUGAAAUGAGCAACUUUAGUUAAACGAUCUACUAUCACCCAUAUUGAGUCACACCCUCUCUGUGUACAUGGUAAACCCACUAUAAAAUCUAUACCUACUUCUUCCCACUUCCAUUCUGGAAUCUUCAUUGGUUGCAACAGUCCAGCUGGCCUCUGAUGUUCAGCUUUCACUCGUUGGCAGGUAUCACACACAACAACAUACUCAGCCACAUCUCUCUUUAAGCCAUACCACCAAUACUUCUAUUUCAGAUCUAGAUACAUCUUAGUGCUACUAGGAUGAAUAGAGUAAGCUGACUCAUGAGCCUCUCUCAGAAUCAUAUCACGAAUAGCCUUUUCAGGAACACAUAUCCUUUUCCCAAACCACAGUAUACCAUUGUCAUCUAUUCUGAAUCCUGGUGCUUUACCUAGUACCACAUUCUGUGCUAUCUCCUUUAGUUUCUCAUCCUCCACUGUCCUUUCAAUAUCUCCUCCUCUAGAGUAGGAGUUACUUCAAUUUCCAUAGCAUUCACUACAAUUCCUAGGUUCAAAUAUGCAAAUUCAGCACGCAACUCCUUAGAUUUAGGUGUCGCCUGAAGCUCAUUAGCAUAUUUCUUUCUGCUAAGUGCAUUAGCCAUGACGUUCGCCUUUCUAGGAUGGUAAUGCACUUCUAAAUCAUAAUCUUUUAUCAGUUCCAACCAUCUACGCUGCGUCCAAUUCAGAUCUGUCUAGGUGAAGAUAUACUUCAAACUCUUAUGAUCAUUGUAUAUGUCACUCUUAUGCCCAACCAAAUAGUGCCUCCAAAUCUUCAGUGCAUCGACCACAACUGCUAAUUCUAGAUCAUGAGUAGGAUAAUUCAGUUCAUGUUUUCUCAACUGUCUAGAUGCAUAAGCCACAACUCUACCUUCUUGCAUAAGAACACAACCCAAUCCCACACGAUAAGCAUCACAAUAAAUAGAAGAAACUCCUACUCAGAUCUGGCAAUACCAACACAGGUGUAGUAGUCAAUGUCUUCUGAAAUUCCUCAAAACUUAGCAUUCUUCUCUCACAGAACAGUCAUAGGCUUUGCAAGUUUUGAGAACCCUUCAAUGAACUACGAUAAUAACCAGCUAGACCAAGAAAACUGCAAAUUUCACUUACAUCUGUAGGCGGUUUCCAAUUCAGCACAUCUUUCACCUUACUAGGAUCCACUGCAAUACCACCAUUAGAGACAACAUGACCAAUAAAAGAAACUUCUUCCAACCAAAACUCACAUUUACUAUGCUUGGCAUACAACUUAUGUUCUCUAUGUUUCUGUAAGACCAAUCUCAGAUGUUCAGCAUCUUCUUCUUUUGUUUUAGAGAAUACCAGUAUAUCAUCAAUAAAUACCACCACAAACUUAUCCAGAUACUCCAUAAAUACUUUAUUCAUCAUGUACAUAAAGUAAGCUGGUGCAUUGGUCAACCCAAAAGACAUAACUGCAUACUCAUACAACCCAUACCUUGUUGUGAAAGCUGUCUUGGUAUAUCUGAAUUCUGAAUCUUCAAUUGAUGAUAACCAGAACGCACAUCAAUCUUAGAGAACACACAAGCACCUCUUAGCUGAUCAAAUAAGUCAUCAACCCUAGGCAAGGGAUACUUAUUCUUGAUAGUGACCUCAUUAAGUGACCGAUAAUCAACACACAUCCUCUGACUACCAUCCUUCUUAUCAACAAAGAUAACUGGUGCACCCCAUGGUGAAGAACUAGGACAAAUGAACCCUUUAUCUUGCAAUUCCUUUAUUUGUUUCUUAAGUUCUUCUAAUUCAUUAACCCCCAUUCUAUAUGGUCUUUUAUCUAUGGGUGCAGUACCAGAUAGUAAUUCAAUAAUAAAUUCAAUGUCUCGGUCAGGUGGCAUACCAGGCAAUUCAUCUGGAAAACAUCUAGAAACUCAUUCACUACCAGGUUCUGAGGAUCAACAUCAUCAUCCAGUUGCUUCACUGUAGUUGUAGGUAGUGCCUGUACUACUACAUCAACACUGAUUCGUUCUCCCUUCGGUGUUGUCAGAACUACCAUUUUCUCGUUGCACUUAAUUUCUAUAGUAUAUUUCUUCAUCCAAUCCAAACCCAAGAUCACAUCUAUGCCUGAAGUUCUCAUAACCAUGGGACUGAUAGGAAAAUCUACCCCCCUUAAAGAAAGACUUGCUAGGGGCAACAAUAAGAAACUGGUAUAGUCUCACCCGAUGAAUUUACUAGCAUAGGAGUUUUCAUGGCAACUAGUGGAAUGCUAUGAACUCUAACAAAUGCUUGUGAAAUGAAUGUAUGUGAAGCUCCAGAAUCAAAUAAAACUGUAGCAGGGAUAGAGUUGAUGUUGAACGUACCCAUCAUAAUUUCAGGUCCCUCCUGAACUGUUUCUGAAGCCACAUUGUUCACCGUUGCCACGUAAGUAGUAGACUUCUGAUUGUUGUUCUCCUUGUUGUACUUCUUUGGGCAAUCAUAUGACAUAUGUCCUUCCUUCCCACAGCGGAAACACCCCAUAGGAGUGAUAGGAGCACUUUUCUUCAUGGGGGUGGCAUUUGAAUUCCCUGAUUAGGAUUAUGCUGCUAGAAUGGAGGGCGUUGAUUCCCAUUCUGUGGUUGAUUCUGGAAACACUGAGGUUGCUGGUUGCGGUUCCACUGACUAAUCGGUCCCUAGAACCUCUGCUGAUGGCCCUGCUGAGAACUGAAAUGUUGGUGGUUAUUGCUCCCAGAUCCUUGUGCUAGCAUCCUCCGCUUCUUAUCCUGCCCUUUGUGCAUGUUGUCCAAUACAAUAGCACGAUUCACCAGAGCCUGGAAGGUAGGAUAAGUAUUUCCAGCCAGUUGCAACCUGAGUUCAUAGUAGAGACCCUUCAUGAACAGGCGCUGCUUAUCAACAUCUUCUCUGACAUCAUUUGGGGCAUAGCGAGCAAACUGCUCAAAUGUGUCAUGAUACUCAGCCACAGUCAUAGAGCCCAUCCUGAGCGAUCUGAAUUCCUCUUGCUUGAGCUCCAUCAUCCCCUCAUUGAUAUGUCGAGCUCUGAAAUCUCUGCAAAAUUCCUGCCAGGUGACAGUAGGAGCAUGGUUGGGACGAGCAGCUUGAUAACACUCCCACCAUGUCUGAGCUUCUCCCUGCAGCUGUCCUGAAGCGUACAACACCUUUUUCCAGAUCAUUGUAUUGUGCUAUGUUCAGUUGUUUCUCCACAGCACGCAGCCAGUCAUCUGCCUCCAUAGGAUCAGUAGAGUGAGUAAACACUAGAGGUCUUCCUUCAUGAAUUCUCCAUGCUUGUCCCUCACAUGAACAGGUGGUGGUGAUGGCGGUGGUGGAGGUUGAUGCUGAAAGUGCUGCAUGAAAGCAUGCAUCAUCUCAUUCUGAGUUUGUAUGAGAUCUUCCACAGUAAUUGGAACAUUGGCACCCAUGCCACGGCCUCUACCUCUGCCUCUGCCUCUGCCUCUGCCUCUUCCCCUUGCUGCCAUCUGCAUUCCAAGGUAUAAAAACAUGUCUUAGUAACGUCCAACAUGACAAUUACAAGAGAUAACGGAAUCUAAAAAUUUUCUAGGUAACAUCCAACAUCAGCAGAUCAGAAAAUCAGUCAUAUAUCGAGUUCCAGAAAUCAAAAGGAUACAUUCUGUACACUGUUGGAAAGAUAAAGAAAUUAUCUACAACUUUCAUUUAGAUCAUAUUAACAGAUUCCAUCGUUAAAUAAAUCAAAAACUGGGUACAUCCGAAACUGUUCCAGAAUUACAGACUGCAUAGAAACCUCAACUUUGAACAGCCAUAACUCACAGCUAAUAACAGAUAAUAAUGUCAUUCUUGCGGCAUUGGAAAGAUAUGAAAGUCUACUUGUUCUCAUAAAAAUUUGAUGAACUUCGCACGAACAGAAUUUGAAUUAUACCAGAAUCAUUGUAGACUCCUCCAGAAAACAGCAAAGGACAGAAACAGAAUAUGACCCCAAACCAACUAUUUAUUCAUGUUCUUACUUAAGAUUCUUGACUAGGGAACUUGUGGAUAUGCCCACAAAGCUCCAGCACUCAUUACAAUAAUCCAAAUCACACAUAAUCAUAAUAACAAUCCAGCAAGCAUACCAAGUUCACACCACACUAGCAAAAGACUCGAAAUAACUCACGAUACUACUAAUGUUCCUAUUACAUAUGGGUUUUCCUAUUCCUCAGGAGCGACAUCCUUUAAGAUAGACUCUGAACGAAGCCUCUUGUGAAGCUUGGGACAGCCAAGCUCUGCUCGAAGAUCAUCUGCUUCCCUUUGCUCCCGCUCCAGGAGUUUUCUCUCACGGCGCAAUUCAUCCUCCAACUCGAUCACCUUGAUGGUUAGUUUAGAAGUCAGCGCCACCUGUGCAUGGAGCUUUGGUUCUGUAGCAUCUGGCACUUCUAUGGCCCAAGUCAUUUCCUCUGGCACGAAGCGAGGGUAGUGGUACGUCGCGUUGUACUGGGCCUCCUCAAAGCGUCUGCCACGGUAAAAGACCAAUGCCUGGUAAGCCGCAUCAGCCAUACUCUGCUUUACAAUGUCCCGCCUGAUUCAAGAAAGUUGUUUUGACUCACCCUACGAAUCCCCUUAGUAGCAUCCAGUGUCUUGACUAUCAGCUCUGCAUCCCAAAGUGAUCUCCUCAGGGGGUGUCUGUACUAGGUGCAGCAAUACUACAGAGUGGCUUGCAAAUCUGGGUAGUAGUGGUUUAAUGUCAACACCAAAUGCUCAUGGAAGAAAGCCCUAGGGACUGACUCUGGAAACCUUAGCACUGUAGUCCUACCCAUCCUUGCAUUAGCUAAAUGAGCAGGCUGUGGUGGAGGUGGUCCUGCAUCUCCUCAUCUUCAGGCACAUCCUCCUGAGCUUCCACCCUUGAUUCCUCAUCUGCCAGCUCAGUAACACCUUCCACAUGCUGCCUCCUUGGGUUGAACAGGGCACGAUACUCCUCAGCAGUCAUGUGUGCAGCACUACGAGUACAUGGCGGCAUCUACAAAAAGUUUUAGACAUAGAUCACAUAGAUGCAAUAAUUUCACAAUAGAGCAAGAUAGAGAAGCAUAAAACUUUUAGCAAAUAACAAGACCAUAGUGGAAAGCAUGAAGUAAGUGAAAUAAAGGACCUAAACUUUUGACCAUUGCUAACUAGGUUUGCAUCCUACAGUCAACAAAGCUUUGAUAUCAAUUUGUCACACCCAUAUUUUAAGAACAAAAUAGGAUGCAUAAAAGACUCAUAUGUGCCCCAGAAACAGUCACACACAUAAGUAGACAAAUCUCAAAUGUACCAUUGCAGUGUUUAUUACAUAACGGAAUGAUAAUAAAUCACAUAGUCUUAUACAAUAAUAAUAAUAAUAAUAAUAAUAAUAAUAAUAAUAAUAAUAAUAAUAAUAAUAAUAAUAAUAAUAAUAAUAAUAAUAAUAAUAAUAAUAAUAAUAAUAAUAAUAAUAAUAAUAAUAAUAAUAAAAAAUAAUGCUCUCGACGGAAGCUUCACACACAGACAGACGUUGACUGGUUGACUUCAAACCUAAUACUCAUAUCGAUAGUCCUCAUUCCAAUCAACUUCAUUUGCAUAACCUGGGGUGUUGGGAAAUUGCAAGAGUGAGCACAUAUCGUACUCAACAAGUAUAACUAGGGGUUCAUGAGGCUCAAAUAGCUGACACUGGUUUAACUGCAUUUAGCUUUUAAUUGGGGAUGUUCAUAAUUAAAUAGCAAGAGUCAAGGUAGCAUAAGUAAUCCAAUAAUCACAUGAUCAAAUAUAAGCAUAAUUAAGUCAUAGCAUAAAUGAUAACCAAAUGAACAUAAUAACUUAACAAGCUCAUCAUCUUUAGUAUAAGAACCACCAAGGCCACUCAUAACCGUGAGCACGGCUAGUAUACUAGUUUUAACACUCUACAGAGGUUGUACAUCUUUACCCAUGAGUCAUGAUUUACCCUUUCGCCCGAGGUAGCUAAUCUCUUAACCCCCUUCCUAGGGAGGUCGGCAGGGAUCACUAUGAAGCCUUUCAAAAGUUCGUCCAACAUGUUAGGGCAGCAAGGUUUCCCAGCGGCGCAGAUAUAGAGCCCCUUCCAAUGGCACAAUGACUUGCAGUCUAUACACAUAAAGACAGAUGCCACACUAUACCCAAAACGGCAAGCCCCACUAGCGCCCUUUUGGGUAACCACUAACAAGCUAGAAAAGGUCUUCAUACUGAGCUCAAGCCAGAGCCAUUAUAGCCCUCAUAGUUGCACUGUUAUCCCGGUGAUCACUUACAGACAAGAUCUCAUAUGGUUAUCAAUCAUCUUUUAACGUUCAUUGCAUAGCUAUUAAUCAUAUUACAAGAUCAUGGAUUACAUCAAGCACUAGCAUAACUACACCAAAAUGCAUAUCAAAUAGGUAACAAUGAAUAGAGGUAACAAUCAUCUAUGAUUUUGCUAAGGUCGACAAGGUGGAGACAUGCAUAUGAUAUAUAUAUAUAUAUAUGUAUUUAUAAGUGUGUAGGUAACAAGGAUGAUCCCAAGUUAUACUUGCCUUGAUCAAAGCUCUCUUGAGCCUGCUGCUGGUCAUCAAAAGCUUGGUCUUGCUCACCAACGUACGACUCACCGUCUAUCCCCAAACAUCAAUCAACAACACGCAAUCCAAUGUAGACAAUCAUACACAAAGCAAACAAGCUAUAAUUAGAACAUUACACCAGCAGUGAUAAAUCAAAGAUAAAAGUUUAUAAAAAUAUUCUAUGCAGCGCUACGAUCACACAAAUGUAAAGUUCACAAAAAUCAGAAUUAAAACAUAGAAGUUAUGAAUUUUCUAAGAUUUCCUAUAGAUAAAUUAAUAAUUAAAUGCUACUGCAAAAUUAAAAAGUUUCAAAACAGAGAAAUAAUACUUCUAACAUGUAGAGCUCGUAAAUACGAAUCUAAAGAAACUUCAAUGGACAAAAAUGGAGUUAAAACGAAUAUUUUAUAAGCAAAACAAAUCCAGUGGCAAUUCUGUAAAUAUCUGAAAGCGUAUUUUGAACUCAGCCGACAAGAAUACGCCUUCCAAACUGAAAAGCGUAAAACCGCCAAUGCACCAUGGACCACGGGUUUGAAUCUCAAGAAUCCUAGGGACUCUUUAGAAAAAGACGCAGUGAAGGGGUAUGUUUCUUUAUGGGCGUUGAUCUUCGAUCGGACGGCUAGGCCGCGCCAGGGGGUGUAACACCCUAAAAUUUUAUCUUCAAAUUAGUAUUUAAAUUGGCAUAAUUAUAGGAACUAUUUAACAAUUGUUUAGGCAAAAUGACAAUUUUUGAAAUUAUCUAAAAUAAACUAUAAGGUCUAGAAACAUGAAAUGUUGCAUUCAUGCUGGUGCAUAAUAUUUUGACUGAUUGUAGGACUAGGUUGUUUGGUUUUAAAAAUCAAUUUGAUAGAAAUUUAUCCAAAUUUACAACUCAUAAAAAUUAAAAGAGUUUUCUUUUUAUUUUCCCCCCUACACCAAAUAUGGCCCAGCCCCAAACCCUGGCCCAGUUUUCCCCCGCGCUCACCCCUGGCCUUGGGCCGUUGGCGGCCAAACUCCCCACCCCUCGCCCGCAGCGCGCAUGUGGCCUAGUGACGAGGCCCGCUCCGCCGCGGUCAGCCCGCGUGCUCCUCCCCCUUCCCCCCCUCUCGCUGCGCGGUAGGGCCCGCCUGUCGGCGCUCUCCCACCCCCUCCCUCUCUCACUGCACCGUGGGGCCCGCUCGUCAGCGUCUCCCCCUUUCUUCCCCACCGAGCCGGGAGCACCGCAGCGAGCAUUCAUCCCCUCCUUCAAACAUCGAUUGAUGGAGGCCAUCAAUCGGGGCUCCAUCAAGUCUCUUGAUGCCGGGAGUUAUCGCCUGCAUGCUCGCCCCCUCAACGCCCCCGCUCGCCCUAUAAAACCAACAGGCUGAGCCCCUCUUGCUGCCCCUAGCCACUACCAGAGCACGGCAUUUUCCCCCACCUCGGUUCACCUUGCUCGAGUGACCCAGAGCUCCCGAAGAGCGCCCCGGAGCAUGGUUGGGUCACGCCGCAGCCGUAGGCUCCUAUCUCCCCUUCGUUUUGGUCCUAGUUGCCAUGAAUUCGAGCUCACCAAUGUAUUUUCUCUUUCCAAUCCGCCCCAACCGUGGCCACACUGCUCGGAGCAUCCCCGGACGUUGCGAACCCCUUCAACGGAACCGUCGUACCCCCUCGAUGCUCCCCGUACCUUUAAUCGUGAGUUUAGGGCUUUUAAACGUCGUUAUCGAAACUCUCCGAGGGCGCGGCAAUGGCGCCGCCACGAGGCCGUCAUCCCGACAUGCUCCCCACCUUUUCUUUUUGCCCUAUCGUGUUCGCCUCAUCGUGCUGGUCACCCUGGUAGUCUUCUUUUUGUUUGACGUGGUCGGGAACGCGAUUCCGGCGAGCUCCGAGGAGCUCACCUCGUCGGCGGCAAUGGCACCACCGCGGUUGGCCCCGGCUUAGGGGAAUACCCCCUCCUUUUCUCCUGGGGCCAUUUGAUCUGAUUUCAGCGGCUCAGAUUACAUACCACUUCGGGGUUAAGUAACCGGUCCACGGUGGACCAUGGGCGCGGUCCACGGCCGCUCGGUCAGCCGGUCCACGCGCACCGUGGUGGACCGAGCCAAUCCCAAUGUGCCACGUGGCCCCCCUGUCGGCCAGCGACGCGGUCAGCCGCGGACCACCUGGGGUUUUGCACUUUAACCCCCCUGUUUGGAGUAAAUCAACCCGCAGUCCAACCUAGUUCAAAAAUAUUUCUUUUUAAUCCUAUUUUCUUCUGUUUUGAAGCCUAUACUUUUCUAUAAUAGUGCGCGCAGUCCAGAACCGUUAGAAAUUUAGUUUUGGUUCUUUUAAAUUCCUUUUUGAUUCAGUUUAUUCACAGAAAUGCCAUUCAACUUGUUUUAUGCAUAACUUUCACGUUUUAAGUCCGAUUAGAGUGAUUCUUUUGCUCAUGUGUUCGUAGAAAUGCAUAGAGUAGAUUUAUAUACUUUUCAGUCAUUGUUUUUACUGUUUGUUGUACUGUUCUAAUAGAACUCUAUUUGUAUGCAUGUGAUGACUGGAUUGGAUGCUUGUUUGGUGUUGGAUCACGAGUAGAAGGAGAUCAGGUUGGGGUGGUUGAGGAGCAGUUUGUUGAGCUCUACCAGGAGGAAACUUUUGAGGAAGGCAAGUGUAACAUAGGCUUCCUUGUACCUAUGAAUAUUAUUUAAUUCAUACAUAUGCAUGUGUCUAAAUUGAAUUGCCUAUAAGGACUUUACCUAGAUAAUUUUGUACCACAUAUCCUUGAUACCUAUGGGAAAGGUGUGCAUUUAUUUAAAUAGUUGCUACUACGCUUGAACCCAAGUUAAUAAAUUUAACCUGAUUAAUUGGUAUAUGCAAUAUGAUAAAAUAUGUUCUAGUAACUUGGUUCAGGGGGCUAGAGCUUGGGUUUUGAACGCUCUAGAUUCCUCUCCAUAAGGACUUAAUCCUGAAGCGGCCACCCAGGAGGUCACGUACUAUCCCGAGAGUCAAAUGGCUCUCACCUUAAUCAUAUAACUAGUAUGUCUCUAGCAAAUUAGUAGUUAUGGAAAGGCGCUAGAGGGGGGUGCCUCGUGGUGUAUAUAUGUCUCUCCUACCUUGGUGUGUAGAGCGCCACGACCACAUGUGCCUCUUGAAGGAGGUCGUCUAUGCACACUUGCCACUGAAACCUCGCGGCUACUAUUUUGUUAGGGUGACUAGUGAAAGGUUAAGUAGUGGCAACCUGUCACACUUCCUCGGUAGAAGUGGUGUGGGCCUUGCAAACCCCGACACUAGAGAACCACGGCUCGGGGGUAAAGUUGUACAAUUUCUGCAGAAAUCUAAAACCUCUUAUAAUAGCCGAGCUCUCGGUCAUGAGCGGCCUGGAUCCUUCUUGGUUAGCAGUUACUUGGUCUUGUUUGGGAAAGGUAUUAACUUUGAUUAAAACUUAUGUAACCAGGGUUGGUUCAUCAUUAAAAAUAGAGAGUCUUGGAUAAUAAAAUAUGACCAACUAAAAUGCUAACCGCUGUUAAACGGAGUCAAGCCUUUGAGCCUUCAUAUACCCCUAUGUUAUACUUGCUAAGCAUGGUGCGCUUACACUUGUUUAUAUUUCAAUUAAAAUCCUGGAUGGGUAACACAUGUGUGCAUUGAGGAGUUCCCUGAAGAUGUCCAGGACUUCUAGAGUGCUGGAGUUCACCAGUUGGUGUCCCUGUGGUAGCAAGGACUUAGCUUUCCGCUUUAUGUAAUAAUGUUGCCAGUGAGCAAGACUAUGUGAGAUGUUUAUGAUGAAUAUGCGAUGUAAUAAAGUACUUUACUUUGAUAUAUUUACAAUUUGUGAUAGUAUGUGUGUUUGGACAUCCUGGGCGCACAUAUUUGAGUACUUGGUUUUGUUCUCAAAACUGGGUGCGACAAAUUGGUAUCAAAGCUUAGCCUAACUGUAGGACGAUUAGCCUAGUUAGAAAUGGAUGUUCUCAGGGUCUUGAUCACUUAUUUUAUUAAUUACUUUCCUAUAAAAUUAUUGCUUAUAAUCUGUCUAAUAUCUAUUGAGAAAAUUAUUUUGUUCUAAUCCUCAUAUCUUUUCUUAUAGAUGGCCCGUACCAAGUGGACAGUCGGCAAACGUGUCAUCAUGCCCAACAAGAGGACAAGGUUCACACUAGGCAAGCGUGUUCCCCCGCAUCUAGUUGAGGCACUGAGAGACAUGGAGAAGGAGCCACAAGAGGAACAACCCAUGGAUGUACCCAUGGAUGAGGAUGCUGAGGAGGAAGCCAUGCUGGAGGAACCUGUUGAAGAAGAGGACACCGAAGAGGAGCUCAUGGAGCAAGAUGAAUAAGAGGGUGCUGGUGAUCCAGAUGAUGGAGAUAGUUCUAACAGUUCUGACUCAGACAACCAUGGCAAUAGUGGUGAUAAUGGUGACAGUGAUGGAGAUAGCCGUGAUCACCAUGCCGCGCUUCUGGCGAAGGGAUGGAUAGUGGAGAUCCAUUUUGACUUGCAUGGUGACGCCUACUAGAACCCGAAGCUCCUUACUCUCGCACGUCAUUAUCACACCAGAUGUACCGUACAGUACCGCACCGAGCAUUGGACCCGCCCCGGCUACAUCGGUUUUUGGGAGACGGAAGCUUACAUCCGAGAGGGAAGUCAGGUGUGCUACAUCCACCGUGCGAUUACCGCCAGGACUACCCGUGCAGCAGCUAUCCGGGACGCUGCCCGGCAGGCCUUGGUGGUUAACCGCGACCGCCACUUUGCUGAUAUUGCAUGGGAAGAAGAUCGCUAUCUACCUCGCCGGCGGAGUGGUCAGACCUCCUGCAACAUCACUGCACCACUUGGGGUAGGGAACCCUAGGAUCUGACCUACCUUGGCAUGCUUGGCUCAAAUCAACACUGACUUAGAUCGAGUCUCAGAUGAGCUAGGUGCCAUGAGGAAAGCCUACCUCGAGUUGGCUGUUGAGAACGCCAUGUUGAAGCAACAGUAGGGGAGUCAUGUUGAAGAAGUACCACUCAUCCUCGCAGAGUCACCACCAAGGAACCAUGAGGAUCCCAACACCGGCACCAACCUUGACCCUUAGGAGGAUUUUCCCACUUGUAAUAAGUACGCAUAGAGAUGCGAGAGUGUGUUUUUAUUUUCCCAAUGUUUGAACAAUUGCUAUUAAGUGAAUGCAUGCUUAUAAUAAUGCUUAAUGAGUGAGUUGGAUUCUUGUCAUGAUUUUAAUGAUUGUGGGCAUGUCCGCAAUCAUUUAGAUUAGGGCUAAGGUCUAAGGAUAAUAUGAAUAAAUAGUUGGGUUUACUUAUAUCUUGCUGUCCAGCCAUGUUUUUCCUCUGAACAGUUUACCUUAAUAUCUGUAUAUCUCGAGUUCCGGACGGUCUAUAAAUACAAAAAAUUUAUGGAACAAAAUAGACUUCUAUAUCUUUCCUUCGGCUCUGGAAUCACCUCAAUAUCUGCUACCGUUUGAGAGAUAAAAUUGUUACAAGAUAACAUCUCUGCGCAGUCAGAAAUUCCAGAACAGUAAAGGUUGUCAUUUGCUUUCACCUAUGUAAACGCCAGAAUUCGAGAAAAAGAUCUGAAUGUAAGUUGUAGGAAACUUCCCAAGCUUUCCAGAAAGUUAAAUUUCGCAGUCAGAGAAUAAACAGAGAGAAGGAUAUACUUGUUUUACUCCACUGCUGUUUAGCAAGGGCAGCAGAAAAAUACAUAAUGCAUACUACUCUGUACUCCCAACAUAUGUAAUCCUGUACUUGAUCAGAUGGUAUAAAUUCCAGCAUGCUAUCUCUAAAACUUAAGUAUCCUGGACAUAUGAGACUCAUAUUGUGUAUCUGGUAUAGAUGGCCAACACUAGGAGGAACAGAAGGGGUGAGAACUUGCCACCACCACCACCACCUCCUACCAUGGAGCAGCUGAUGAUGAUGAAACGCAGCUACUACAGCAGCUGGCUCAGAAUAUGCAUAACAAUGGAAAUGGAAAUGGAAACGCACCUCCACAUGUUAGGGACAAGAGAGGAGAAUUCUUGAAGGGACACCCACCUGUUUUCAAGCACUCCACUGACCCUCUCAAAGCUGAUGACUGGCUUCAUGCUAUUGAAAGACAACUGGAGAUUGCACAGUGUGAUGACAGAGAGAAAGUGUUGUAUGCAGCGGGACAACUGCAAGGAGCUGCUCUUGAUUGGUGGGAUUCAUUCGUUUUGGCCGUACUAAUGCUGAUCCCAUAACCUGGCUGGAGUUCCCUAAUGCUUUCCGCUCUCAUCAUGUCCCUACUGGGUUAAUGAAACUGAAAAGGAAGGAAUUUCUCUCCCUCAGGGAGGUAUGUCUAUUGCUGAAUAUCAUGACAAGUUCAUACAAUUGUCACGAUAUGCUCCCACUGAAGUGGAGGAUGAUGAAAAGAGGCAGGAGCUAUUCAUGGAAGGUCUGAAUGAUGGGCUCCAGUAUCAACUGCUAUCCCACACUUUUGCAAGUUUUCAGUAUCUGGUGGACAAGGCCUUAGUUAUUGAAAACAAGCGCCGACAGAUGGAAGAUAAGAAAAGGAAUUUCCAAGGACAACAGUCAGGAAACAACACACGUACCCGUACCAAUACCCAACAAGCUUAUCCACAGCAACGUUAUCAGGGUCAGUCAAGUCUGAUCAAUCGUAACCAGCAACCACAACGUGCAUAGCAGCAGCAGCAGCAGCAGUACAGAGCUCCUAACCAACGUCAGUAGCCAGUCAAUAAUGCUCCAGUAAAGACAAAUGUUCCCAAUGCUCCACCAAAGAAUGGUGCACCAAAAGCACCAAAUGCUAACAAUGAUAACAAAUGCUACAGCUGUGGUGAGCCGGGACAUUAUUCCAAUAGGUGCCCCAAGAAGAUGGCACAGAACAAUAUCAGAGGAACGGUAAAUCAUGUGACAGCCGAGGCGGCUCAGGAGGCACCAGACGUGAUGCUCGGUAUGUUUCUAGUUAAUUCAAGCCCCGCUACAGUUCUAUUCGAUUCUGGUGCAUCACAUUCCUUUAUUGCUUAGUCAUUUGUCAAGAAAUAUGAUAUACCCAUGAUUGCUAUGAAAAAUUCCAUGAUAGUUAGCUCACCUGGAGCAGAAAUGCAAGCUACCCUUAGAUGCCCCCUAGUGAACAUCACCUUAAGGGGGGUAGAGUUUACAGUUAGCCCUGUGGUUUUGAAAACCUCCGGUAUUGAUGUUAUCUUGGGAAUGGAAUGGUUGAAACAGAGAAAGGCGGUUAUACAAUGUGAUAGCAAAAUAAUUCAGUUAGUGACACCUUCAGGCCAGCAAAUUGAGGUAGAGGUUAGUAUGUCAGCUAAACAAUACUAUAUAGUUAAUCAACUAAAGGGGACAUCAAUAGAAGACAUACGAAUAGUGAAUGAAUAUCCGGACGUUUUUCCUGAGGAACUACCAGGUAUGCCACCCGACCGUGACAUUGAGUUUAUAAUUGAACUUUUACCUAGAACUGCACCCAUAGCUAAAAGACCAUAUAGAAUGGGUGUGAAUGAAUUAGCAGAACUUAAGAAGCAAUUAAGAGAAUUGCUAGAUAAAGGUUAUGUCCAACCAAGUUCCUCACCUCGGGGAGCACCAGUGUUAUUCGUAGAAAAGAAAGAUGGGACACAAAGAAUGUGUAUAGAUUACAGAUCGCUUAAUGAGGUCACAAUUAAGAACAAGUAUCCACUCCCUAGAAUCGAUGACCUGUUCGACCAGUUGAAAGGAGCUUGUGUGUUUUCUAAGAUAGACCUUCGGUCUGGUUAUCAUCAGUUAAGGAUAAGACGAUCUGAUAUCCCUAAAACUGCUUUUGUGACUCGAUACGGACUAUAUGAGUUUACAGUCAUGUCCUUUGGCUUGACAAAUGCACCUGCCUACUUUAUGUAUUUGAUGAACAAAGUAUUCUUGGAAUACCUUAACAACUUCGUGGUCGUGUUCAUUGAUGACAUACUUGUUUUCUCUAGAAAUGAGAUAGAACAUGAGAAACACUUGAGAUUGGUACUGCAGAAGCUUAGAGAACAUCAACUCUAUGCUAAGCUUAGUAAGUGUGAGUUUUGGUUAAAAGAGGUAUCUUUCCUUGGUCACAUCAUCUCUGACGGAGGGGUAGCAGUAGACCCUAAAAAGGUUCAGGAUGUGCUAAGCUGGAAGCCACCCAAAGAUGUGAGUGAAAUUAGGAGUUUCCUUGGAAUGGUCGAGUACUAUAGAAGAUUCAUUGAGGGAUUCUCUAAGUUAGCCAAACCAAUGACUGCUCUGCUAGAAAAGAAUGCCAAAUUUAUAUGGUCAAAAGAGUGUCAGGCUAGUUUCGAAGAAUUGAAAAAGAGACUGACUUCUGCCCCCGUACUCAUCUUACUUGAUAUCACUAAGAGUUUCUCUAUCUACUGUGAUGCCUCUCGGCAAGGUCUUGGUUGUGUGCUGAUGCAAGAAGGCAGAGUUGUGGCCUAUGCCUCUAGACAGUUGAGGAAACAUGAGUUGAAUUACCCGACCCAUGAUUUAGAGUUAGCAGCCGUGGUGCAUGCUCUAAAAAUAUGGAGGCACUAUCUAAUCGGUCAUAAAUGUGAGAUUUAUAUAGAUCAUAAGAGUUUGAAAUAUAUUUUCACCCAGUCUGAUUUGAACUUAAGGCAGUGAAGAUGGUUGGAACUGAUAAAGGACUAUGACCUGGAAGUACACUAUCAUCCGGGAAAAGCUAAUGUAGUGGCAGAAGCCCUGAGUAGGAAGAGC
Molecule: long non-coding RNA, 70341 nt
Filed under: Sorghum bicolor (sorghum)
Lineage: Eukaryota; Viridiplantae; Streptophyta; Magnoliopsida; Poales; Poaceae
Description: long non-coding RNA (SBIC_LNC017382)
Source: RNAcentral